AAAUCCAUGAUUUUAUUUUUAUUCAUUUGCAAAUGUAAGGAAAUACAAUAUUCACUCUUCAAUCAAAAGCUCCCAUUACAAGCCAACAUAGCGUUUCGGAAGUUAAAAAAAAAAAAGGAAUGAAAACCACACAAUUUUUUAUGCCAAAGAUGACAUAGAGUUUUGAUCAAGAUAACUUAGAAAAUCAUUGAAGCAGCAGAAGAAUUUAGUUGUAGGCAUCCUGAUGCUCCAAGAGGUAGUUCUCAAUCAACUUAAAGAGGUGGGAGGCCUUCUCUUUGCCAGCCUUAACAUGCUCUUCCUUGAUCUCAACAUCACCUUUGGUGUGGUAGUGGCUGGUGCUCUUGAUGACGGAACCGCUGCUGGCAGCAACCAACUUAGUCUCAUAAGAGAUCUUCUCAAUUGUCUCAGAGAUAGCAUCUCCUUCGAUCACACUGUACUUGUAGACAAAGUUGUCCUUGUCAACCCCAUCAAUUCUGUGCUUCACAUAGCUGUAUGUGCUACCUUCACCGAAGUUGAUCUUCUUAAUGGUUCCAACUCCUCCAUCUCCUUCAAGGAUUUCAGCGCUCUUCACUGCUUGUGGUGCAAUCUUGGGGAUGAGGUUGUCAGCAUCAAGAACAAAGGCAUUGAACAACCUAGCAGGGGGGAUGACAGAGGUGAACUCGGAUUCGUAUGUGAAAACACCCAUGAUUCUGAGAAGUGUUUGGAAAGUAAGAAAAUAAAAAUUGAUGAAUAGGAAGAUGAUGUAAUGGGAGGUUUUGAGUUGUGAAGAAGUGAGGGAGCAGGUAUGGUAUUUAUAGGGUGAGGCUGAAGGUUGAUCAAAACGUUUUAUUAUGCAAGUUCCUGCUUGGUUCUAUGCAUUUACGUGGGAACCAUUACUUUUUCUACAUGAAAUUUUGUAUUUUAGUCAAGGGGAAGGGAAGGACCAUCUGGAUAUUGAAAAAGAAAAUACCCAAUUAAUCACGAGGUCGAGUAACCUCAAUUAUUUUCCCGUCUGCACAAUGAGAUUCCAUUUGAUAAUAAACAAUAGUAUGAACAUGCACGAACCGUGUGGGACUCCUAAUAAUUCAAUUUUCGUUGUCCACUACUGUACAGGUUAAUGUUUUGAGUCAUUUCCAUUUGGCUGUGUGCUUAAAUAGGUUAAAAUGGACGAGGACUGUGCAUUGGGAUAACAGUUGAAAUUAUUUUGAGGCAUUUCCAUUAGGAGAUGUGAUAACCUACAGGAAAACGGAGGGCAACCAAUGUUGACAAAUUGCAACUAGCCAAUGUUGAAUGCAAGUCAAGUCCCCCUACUUUGAACUUCUGGAGUUUGACCAAAAAAAGAAAUUGAACUUCUGGAAGUGUAUACUAACUAAUUAACCUCCGUAAAAUUUAUUGGAAAGGUUAACUACUUGGUUCAUUUUUAUGUUAGGGUGUUUUUGAUAUAGUCUGUAUUAAGGUUUUCUAGUAGGAUAAGAAUUAUGAUUACUUUCCCAUCUGUAAUCAAGGUUUAAGAUUGCUUUAUUAUUUGUUUUAGAAGCUUAUGUUUCUGGGUUCAAUGAGACUUUGAAAGUUUUAAGUGUCAUUCAAUAAAUGUUAGCCUGGUAUCAUUUUUUUUUGGGUUUUUAUUACAAUUUGUCUAUUAAAUGGUUAAUUAGUUUUAGGCUGGUAUCAAUUUUUUUUUGGGUUUUUAUUACAAAUGGUCCCUGAAAUCGGCCUAACUCAUCAUAUUGGUCAUUCAAUUUGAAAAUCAAUCAAUGUCUUUCCUGAAAUUAACUACCGCAAAUCAACUUGGUCCAUGCCGUUUAAUCUGUAAAGUUUUCUAUUAGUUUGCUGACAGAGCAUACAAGUAGAGCCCCCAUGUCUAAUUAAGUAGUGCCAUGUGGAAAAAUCUAUAAAACCAUAAAAAGACAAUUUAAAAACCCAUAAAAAAAACUACCCAAAACUAAAAAAGAAAAAAAAAAGAAAAAAAAGAAAAAGAAGAUGAAGCAGGCAACAUCAUCGUCUUCCUAAGAUCCCACAACCCAGCCACCACUUAUGCUAGAUCCCAACCAGCAACCACUCCUUCUAAAUCCCAACCACCAGCCACAACCCCUUGAUUCUUUGGCUCCGUUCGUUGAGCAGUUGGCUCGACCAGCCACCCAUUCUCCCUCCGCAUAUCCUUCCAUCGACCAGGCAACGGCGUAGCCCGUGUGCUGAUGCGACGCGUCUUCUAUCCGUCGAUCUACUUAUAACGCCGCUUGCAAUUUCGUUCUCUUUCUGCAACACCCACGUUGCUCCUCUUGAACCCAUAUUCUUGCUUUCUCCACUCUUUUACAGCAACACACACUCUCACACUGAGUUCUUGGAAGGGCUCUGCAACUACGUUGCCAGAAUGAGGAGCAAAAGACGCCUCUCAGACUGAAUUUUUUUUAGUUAUUUUAUUUGGCUAAAUAAUAAUACAUGGCACUAAAUCAUUGGUUGUGUUGGCCACAUGUGUGCUACGUCAGCAAACUAACGGAAAACUUGACGGAAUUAAACGGCAAGGACCAAGUUGAUUUGUGGUAGGCAAUUUCAGAAACUACAUUGAUUGAUUUUCAAUUUCAGAGACCAUCUUGAUGACGAGGGUUAAUUUCAAAGAUCAUUUGUGUUAAAAACCUUCUUUUUUUUCUGUCAAUAGAUUUGGUCGUACCACACCUUUGCUUUUGUCACAAAAAUGCAUUCUUUUUUACUUUAGAAUUCCAUUUUUAAUGAGAUCUACAGAUAUGAAGAAUUUUAUUGACAUUAACGUGGGCAUAGUCAUAUCUAUUAAUGUUGAUGUGCUCACUUCUAUGCAUUCGAGGUCAACUAAUUUAGGUCUACUACAAUUUUUUUAAUGGAACGACAUAUUUCAUUCGUGAAGGAGCAAAUACAUACAAUAUUUACAUAAACCAAGAACAUGACCCAAAAUGGGGUACUAACAAAGAUCUGAAAAUAUAUAUACAAAAGAAUAAUCUCAUCAUAUGUUGCAAGACAAUGCUGGAAGAGACAAAGAAUUCAUAGAAACCAGUGCAUGCAAGGUCCUGCCAACUUAGUUAGAAAACUAAAAGCAUUAACAUUAUUCAUUAGUAGUUGGGUCAACUAAUGCAAGAAGACCGUACGACACACACACACACAUAUAUAUAUGUGUGUGUAUUCAUUUGUCACACCAUGAUAAUUGUAAAAUGUUGUAUAGUUUAUGUCAACUCGUGUAGUUAGAAAAUAUGAUGCUUUAAAUUGAUCGCGUAUUAGGUGAUAAAUAAGAUUGAUGUUUUGUUUUCUUAAAUUAGUUAUUUGUGAUCUUUUGGUGUGAUUGACAUAACUUGUCAUGUAGAAUAAUAGAAGGCAAGUUAGAAAAAUGAAAAUUGAACAUUAUUUGUUAACACGGUGAAACUUGAAAAUAUAUCAUCAAAUAUGAUGUUCUUCUUAUUUAUUUGUAAAUCAAAGGAAAUACAAUAUUCACUCUUCACUCAGAAGCUCCAAUUACAAGCCAAAACACUGUUUCAAAACUUAAAAGAAAAAGGGAAUGAAAACCACACCGGUACAUUGGAUGAUGCCAAAGAUCACACAACUACUUAUUGGUACUUUUUGCGGCAGCAUGUAAUAUUAAUUUAGUUGUAGGCAUCCUGAUUCUCCAAGAGGUAGUUCUCAAUCAACUUGAAGAGGUGGGAGGCCUUCUCUUUGCCAGCCUUAACGUGCUCUUCCUUGAUCUCAACAUCACCCUUGGUAUGGUAGUGGCUGGUGCUCUUAAUGACAGAACCGCUGCCGGAAGCAACCAACUUAGUCUCAUAAGAGAUCUUCUCUAUUGUCUCAGAGAUAGCAUCUCCUUCGAUCACACUGUACUUGUAGACAAAGUUGUCCUUGUCAACCCCAUCAAUUCUGUGCUUCACGUAGCUGUAUGUGCUACCUUCACCGAAGUUGAUCUUCUUAAUAGUUCCAACUCCGCCAUCUCCUUCAAGGAUCUCAGCGCUCUUCACUGCUUGUGGUGCAAUCUUGGGGAUGAGGUUGUCAGCAUCAAGAACAAAGGCAUUGAACAACCUAGCAGGGGGGAUGAUAGAGGUGAACUCGGAUUCGUAUGUGAAAACACCCAUGAUUCUGAGAAGUGUUUGGAAAGUAGGAAAAUAGGAAAUUGAUGAAGAGGAAGAUGAUGUAAUGGGAGGUUUUGAGUUGUGAAGAAGUGUGGGAGGAGGUAUGGUAUUUAUAGAGUGAGGCUGAAGGUUGAUCAAAAGGUUUUAUUAUGCAAGUUCCUGGUUGGUUCUAUUUCAUUAACGUGGGAACCAUUACUUUUCCGACAUGGAAUUUUGUAUUUUAGUUAAGGGGAAGGGAACGACCAACAGGAUAUUGAAUAAGAAAUUACCCAAUUAAUCACGAGGUCGACUAACCUCAAUUAUUUACAUUGGUUUGCACUAUUAGAUUCCAUUUGAUGAUAAACAAUAGUAUGAAUGAAUCAUGUGGAACUUCUAAUAAUUCAAUUUUUGUUGUCUACUACUGUAUAGUUGAAUAUUAUGAGUCAUUUCCAUUUGGCUGUGUGCUUAAAUUGGUUAAAAUGGACGAGGACUGUGCAUUGGUAUAACAGCAGGAAUUAUUUUGAGCCAUUUCCAUUUGGAGAUGUGAAAGCCUAAACCAUAAAGGUGGGCAAUUAAUGUCGACAAAUUGCAACUAGCCAAUGUUGAAAUGCAAGUCAAGUCCCCCUAAUUUGAACUUCUGGAGUUUGACCAAAAAGGAUUUUUGAACUUCUGGAAGUGCAUACAUUUGUAAGAUACGUAACAAUACUAUAACUAAUUAACCUCCGUAAAAUUUAUUGGAAAAGUUAACAACUUGGUUCAUUUUUAUGUUAGGGUGUUUUUGAUAUGGUUUGUAUUAAGGUUUACUAGUUGGAUAAGUAUUAUGAUUACUUUCCCAUCUGUAAUCAAGGUUUAAGAUUGGUUUAUUAUUUGUUUUAGUAAAUCAGGUGUUUGUAAGUACAUCUCUUGUAACUUUGUAGGUAUCAAGUCUUAGCAAGAUUGUAAUUUGUUCGUUAUGUAGUAUGCUUGUCAAUUUGUAGUAUUCUUCUUUCUUGUAUGUCUAUGGAAUAACAUUUUGUGUUUUUCAAUAAUUUUUUUUUUGUCCUUUGAUUUGUAUACUAAAUUUCCUAUUGCAUUGAUAUUCCUUUAUGCAAUGUAUGCAACUAUUGUUAAAGAGCCAAUCUCGCGUAAUUCUUUUUCACUGUUAAAAAUAAAUAUAUGUCAACAGCUAAUUACAUGCUUGUGAAGCUUACAAUGUUGCAAUUACUCCUUCAUGAAUACGUACAAGAUUUAUAUAGAUCAAGAACAUGACCCAAGAGGGGUUACUAACAAAGAUCUGAAAGUAUAUGCAAGAGUAAUCGCAUAUGUUACAAGACAAUGCUGAAAGAGAGAAUUCACAAAAACCAAUGCCCUUAGGCUCUAACCAAUCCAGUCAAAUGGUCAUAGGCCAAAAUAUAGUCCGUUUUGACACGAAAGUCGUCUCCAACCGAGAACUAGGCUAAAGAGCUUGUGGGCCUCACUUGACCAAAAAUUAGACACCAGGCCAGGGGCUGGCCAAAAUAAGCCAGCCAACUAGCCCGAUGCAGCAGCCCAAACACCAGACAAGUUCCAUCCUUAAUCACAUGUCGAUUCAAAGAAACAAUAUUGCAGCAGAACCUCUUCUUAAGUGAUGCAUCAACUUAAUUAAUUAAAACAGAUUUAGCAAAAAGUUAAUUAAUUAAUUAUCUCUUCUUUUCGUACACAAAAUAAACACUUUAAUUGCAUAUUUUGCAAGUAAUCCCAUCCCCAGUAUUGCCUAUUAAAAUUUCAUAAUAUUAUAUAUAUAUAUAUAUAUAUAUAUUUUUUUUUUCUUCUUCUUAUAUUAUGUAUUUUUUUAGUAUAUUAUCUUAUGUACUUUUGCAAAAAGAAUUAUACCAUGCAUGUGGACGGACUAAUAAUUAAACCUUAAUUUGGGCUUAAAAAAAUAAUGAUACAACCAGGACGCAUGCAAGAGCCAAAAUAUCGUUGGGGUUGGUUGAUUUAGGUACAACCUUUUUUAUUAUUGGUUGGUUAUUGUUUGGAGGUUCUUUUCGUUAUAGAACAUAUUAAAAAAUAGCAUCCUUCGGUUAGAGAUGAAUUUUUUUGUCAAAUGACUAUGUUUUAGUCUAUAAUCCUUUGAUCCAUUCGGUUAAAGAUAAUAUAAAAUAUGAUCGUUUAUUAAAAAAUAAUUUCUUAUAAAACUAUAAAACAAAAUAUGACCCUUGGCCCUCUCUCCAUUGACGGUGGCCAUCGUGACAACUUGGGUAGUUAGAAAACAAAAGCAUUAAAUUCAUUAGUAGUUGGGUCAACUCAUGCAAAGGGACCGUAUGACAUGUGUAUACAUUCAUCUGUCAUACCAUGAUAACUGUAAAUGUUAUAAUUGUUACGUCAACUCGUGCGGUUAUAAAAUAUGAUGCUUUAAAUUGAUCGCGUAUUAGGUGGUAGAAUAAGAUUCAUUUGUUUUCUUAAAUUAGUUAUUGUGUGAUCUUUCAGUGUAAUUGACAUGACAUGUCACAUAGAAUAAUAGAAGUCAAGAUAGAAAAAUGAAAAAUGAACAUUAUUCAUUACCACGGUGCAUAAAAAGAAAUUUGAAAAUAUAUCAUCAAAUAUGAUUUUCUUCUUAUUUAUUUGUAAAGGAAAGGAAACACAAUAUUCACUCCACUCAGAAGCUCCAAUCACAAGCCAAAACACUGUUUCAAAACUUAAAAGAAAAAGGGAAUGAAAACCACACAUUGUUUGAUGCCACACGAGGACACAACUACUUAAUAAUACUUUUUGUGGUAGCAGGCAAUAUUAAUCUAGUUGUAGGCGUCCUUGUGCUCCAAGAGGUAGUUCUCAAUCAAUUUGAAGAGGUGGGAGGCCUUCUCUUUGCCAGCCUUAACAUGCUCUUCCUUGAUCUCAACGUCACCCUUCGUGUGGUAGUGGCUGGUGCUCUUAAUGACGGAACCGCUGCCGGAAGCCACCAACUUAGUCUCAUAAGAGAUCUUCUCAAUUGUCUCAGAGAUAGCAUCUCCUUCAAUCACACUGUACUUGUAGACAAAGUUUUCCUUGUCAACCCCAUCAAUUCUGUGCUUCACGUAGCUGUAUGUGCUACCUUCACCAAAGUUGAUCUUCUUAAUAGUUCCAACUCCACCAUCUCCUUCAAGGAUCUCAGCGCUCUUCACUGCUUGUGGUGCAAUCUUUGGGAUGAGGUUGUCAGCAUCAAGAACAAAGGCAUUGAACAACCUAGCAGGGGGAAUGACGGAGGUGAACUCAGAUUCGUAUAUGAAAACACCCAUGAUUCUAAGAUGCGUUUGGGAAGUGAGGAAAAACUAAUUGAUAAAGAGGAAGACCGAGGAAGAAAGAUGAUGUAUUGGGAGGUUUUGAGGUGUGAAUAGCUGAAGAGGAGGUAUGGUAUUUAUAGGCCGAGGCUGCCUGAAGGUGGAUGAAUAGGUUUAUGCCAUUUCCUUAUUUUUUAAAUUGGUUCAUUGUGACGUGGGAACCAUUACUUUUCUACAUGGAAUUAAUGUUUGUAUUUUAGUCAAGAGAAGAACCAUCUGCUAAUUGAAUAAAAAAAAUAUAGCCAUUUAAUCCACGAGCUUAAUUAUUUCUAUCCCACUGUUUUAUAUUGAAGUUAUAAUUUUGCAUUUGCAUGCAAUGAGUGCUUCAGAGAUGACCACAUUCUCUGACAUUGUAGCUACUUUUACACUUUCUGUGAAAACCAGAGCAUAGAAAUUGGAAUUCAUUUUAGUAAUCAAGGUUCUAAAAAACGUUAGGCGCUAGUUGGGCGGCGGGUUAGCGCUUAGCGCCUAGGCAGCUAGGCAGGGUUUAGGCGGGUGCCUAGACGGCCUAGGUGGAUUUAGGUAAAUUUCAUGUAUAUCUUGUAAAUAAGUGCUUAUUAACACUUACAAAAAAUUAUACUUGUAUGAAAUCCAUGGAUAAGAUAAUAAAAGAAUGAUAAAAUGCAAAAAGAGUAUCCAACAAGUCCAAAAUUUAAAAACAUAUUAAGCAUAUAUGCCAUAUAAUCAUAGUGAGGAGUAUUGUAAGAUGACACAUGUACAAUAAGUUCACAAUUUAAAACCACAUAAAAUGCAAAAUAGGAGGAAAAUAAGGAAAUAUAGUAAUGUAGAUAGGAUUUUUUUUAUUUUUUAAUUUAAAAAAAUAAAUAAAUAAAAAACCGCCUAGCACCGCCUAGUGCCUAUCCCGCCUAGGGCCGCCUAGAGCCUAACCGAUUUUUCCAAUCAAUUUGCAAAAAAAUACCUCGAGUCACAACCGCCUAGGCCAUUUUUUAGAACAUCGUCAGUAAUUGAUUAAGCUUAUUCCUUUACUAUCUUUUUCAGUCCAAAACUGAUACUUGGGUCUCAAUCAACAAUGACUGCCAUGGGCUAUGAAUUCAAUAAUUCUGAUAAAGUGAACACUUCACAUUCUCUUCCAUUCCAGUUAGCCAUUCUGAUGGUAGAAAUUUCAAUUAAUCUGCCGACCAUCUCACCUUAAUUGAGGCAGGGCUAGCUUAUCCUCUAAUCAUUUCAUAUCGUAUAACAAAAAAUAUCAGACGAGACUACAAAAUAACUUCGUUCUUUGUUGGGUAUUGAGAUUUGAAACCAAGUUGGGCCGUUUUGUUGUCUCCUAUAUUUGUCUAAUUUUGUAUUCACGAUCAACAUGGUCAUUGGCUGUGUAGUUAAUAAUUACGAGGUGAAUUUGGACUUGUUAUAAUUGAACGUUUUGAUAUUGCCCCCAUACAAAAUGAUGGGCAAUCAAUGUUGACCCAAUGCAGCCAUAUGUUGAAAUACAAUUCAAGUAGCCUAAUUUGAACUUCUGGAAGUGCAUACUAGUUGUAAUGUGGUAGGGACAACAAUAUAUGAAGCAGACAGCAAUUUUGUAAAACAAAGGUUUCAUCAAUUGGGCAUUAGACACCAAUUCAUUUUGAAUAAUACUUGGGUACUCACCUUUUAAUUUUGUCCAAUGAUAUUUUGAAAUAUUGUAUUAUUUUUGAUAAAUAAUGGACAUGUUAUUUAAUUUUUUUUUUUGGGCUUUGGAAAAAAGGAACACGUGACAUUUUUUUUUAUUAACCAAGUCAGAAAGUGAGUACAUCAAUACUUACUAGUGAGUAUCUAAGUAUUAUGCAUUCAUUCCAUCCCCAUCAGUGUACUAAUUAACCUCAGUAAAUUACAUUCAUACUGUUUCAUAAAAGCUUUAGUUGCAAGGACUCUUAACAAAACUUUUCCCUACUCUAGCGAGAAUUCAAAUAUUUGGCAAGAAAGCAUUUCCUCACUGUAGAUAGACUCUUAUCGUCGUAAUCUAUUUUACUAACUAUACCGAGUAAAAGUUUUAGAGUUUAACAAAAUGGAGACUUUGAGCAAGAGUUUUUUUUCUCGCUAAACGACUUUUUUGUUGUAGUAAAUGUACAAUUGGAUCCACAUACACUAAGAAUUAACAAUUCAUCAUGUGCGUGCAAGUAGAAGACAAUGCAUAAUUAACACUUUUCCAAAAGUGUUAGUUACACUCAAUAUUCUUGUGGUAGAUGUGUAGGAGUUUAGGUUAAUUGUUGGUUGUGCAAAUUUCCCCUCAAGAACAAGAAUUUGGUCACGGAAGAUGAAAUGAAGCCAGAUUUAGUUAGGUUAGUAUCAUUGUCUUUGUUAAUAGAUUUGGAGUGUUAGGUCUUUGUCACAUAAUUGCAUUGUUUUCCCCUUUAGAUUUUUAAAUUUGACGUGAUUUAUAGAUAUGAAGAGAUUCUUGCACUACAAAAAACCGCAGUAUUUGUCGGAUCAAAUACGAUUUUGUCACCUAUAAGUUUGCUCGACAAAAUUAUGUGAGCCAAAGUUCGUCGCGCAAAACCCGUUGCUCAAAUAUUGCCUGACGAAAUAUAAGCAUUUGUCAAGAGAACAUUGUUGACUCGACUAAAUAAAGUCGUCCGGUAAAAGAGCAUUGACCGACCUGGUCCGACAAACAUAGCUUGCUCGACAACAAAGUUUUGUCGAGUUUCUAGAAAUAAAAUAAUGAAAAUUUUAGCCCGACAAAAUAUUAGUCGGGCAAUUGUUUUAAAGAAAAAAAAAUACAAUAAAAGUUUGCUUGACGAAUAUCUUCGUUGGGCAAAGCUUUUAUAUAUAUAUAUUUAAAUUUGAAAUUAAAAUAAUGUAUUAAUUCUAAUUAUAUUAGUCUAAAAGGCUAAAAUAAAUCACAACUUUAAAGAAAUUUAUUUAAUUACAUUAAAAAAAUAUUCGUACAAUUGUAUGUAACAAAAAAAUUAAGUGCAACUACUGGAGUUACCGCUGAGGUGGCUAGUGGAAUGGCGCCUGAAGAUCGCUCGGAGGAUUGGGAAUGCGAAUGCCAGAAGCUAACAUUGCUUGCGCUAUCCCAACAAUGUACCAAAAGGCCCUCCUCUCACUGACGCACGGUUUCUUGCUCGCGCAGAGCUUCUUCUCGACGGCUCGCUAGCUCCAUCUCCAACUGCUGCAGUUUGGAAGACAUCUUGCUUGGAGGAUGAGACCUAGAUGAAGAAGAAGUUUCCUCAAGAUCCCGAACUUGACCGGUUCCUAGGCCACCGAAUUCUUUGCAUUUCAGUUGGCCAACCACGUCCAUUAGCAAUUGUAGAGACACCUCUCGAUCAGGUGUCAUCUCCUCCAUUGGUGUGUCCGAUUUCUGCUGGGAGAGGUUGGCUAGGUACUUAUCCUUAUUCUGCGACGUAGAAGCCUACAAAAAAAUAAAAAAUAAAAAUCAGUUACCUAUCCUAAAAGUUUAUUUUGAUGAUUUUUAGCUUAUACGAUCUCAGAGUAUAUAUAAAUAAGUUUGAAGGUUGGAUCGUUGAAACUAGUUUCAUAGAAUGUGUAUCCCGUCAAAACAAUUGAUUCAACAAACACUUAAAGUUUAUUUUAUACUUUCAUUGAGUAGAAAGGAAGAUUUUGUGGCGUACACUAGUGUAUAUAUUUUAACUUGAUCAUCGAGUUCAUUCAUUGUCUUCUUCUAGUGUAAAAAAUCAUCAAAAGUAGAGCUAAAAUAACUGUCAAAUCGUGAUUUUUCGUUUGUAACCGUAGAAUGACAUCUCCACAGAUAUGUAUCCUUUUCUAAUUUUUUUCUGCAAUCGAAUAAUCUGAUACGGUGAUUGGUGUAUUUCGUAUGAGGGAGUGAUAGAUUUAUAACCAUUUUAACUUUUGAUUCAAUUUUGUAUUCCUCUAUUUAAUACAAAUUCUAGAGAAUAUCCAAACAAUGAAAUUUGGAAUUCCCGUCAUUUUGUAAUUUCUAUGUAUCCAACAUCCAAACGAUGAAAUUCAUUUAACGGGAAUUUAAUUACUGUCAAUUGUAAUUCCUGUCAUUUAAAAUUAUGUGAUAAUUUAGAAAUUCUCCAUCCAAACAUAGUGUAAAAGUUUGUUUUUUGUGCUUUUGACGCAUCCGAUCUCGCAGUAUAUAUGUAACAUCUCACAUCGCCCAGGGGAGUGAUCCUUAAAUGUAUAUUCCCAUCCCUACCUAGCACGAGGCCUUUUGGGAACUCACUGGCUUCGGGUUCUGUAGGAACUUCGAAGUUAAGCGAGAAGGAGGCCAGGUCACUCCCAGGAUGGGUGACCCACUGGGAAGUUGCUCGUGAGUUCCCAAAAACAAAACCGUGAGGGAAUGGUAAGCCCAAAGAGGACAAUAUCGUGUUACGGUGGUGGAGCGGGCCCGGGAAGUGGUCCGCCCCGGGCCGGGAUGUGACAAUAUAUAAAUAAGUUUGACGGUUGGAUCAUUGAAACUACUUUUGCAGAACGUGUAUCCUGUCAAAACAAUAGAUUCGACAAACAAUAAAGAGUUUAUUAUAUUUCCAUUAAGUAGAAUGGAAGAUUUUGUGGUGUCCACUAUAGUUCAAAUUGAUGAUCGGGUUCAUUUAUUGUAUUCUUCUAGGGUCAAAGAGUGUAGUUGUAAAAAAAAUAUCAAAAUCGAAGCUAAAAUGACCAUUAAAUCUUGAUUUUUAGUUUGUAACUGUAGGAAAUUUUGGUCUCGUUACCUAUUCUCUCUGAAAGUUUGUUUUUGGUAUUUUUGGUGUAUGCGAUAUUGGAGUAUAUACAAAUAAGUUUGACAUUUGGAUUGUUGAAACUAGUAUCGUAGAAUGUUUAUCUUGUCAAAACAAUAGAUUCAACAAACAAUUAGAGUUUAUUCUAUAUACUUCCACUAAGUAGAACGUAAGUUUUUGUGGUAUCCAUUACUGUAAGUAUUUUAAAUUGAUGGUCGGGGUUCAUUGUAUUCUUCUAGGGUUGAGGAGUGUAGUUGUAAAAAGUCAUCAAAAUCGGAGCUAAAAGAACCGUUAAAUUGUGAUUUUUUGUUUGUAACCGUCGAAGGAUUUCGUUCCAUUACCUAACCUUUUUGUUUUUGGUGUUGCAUUAUUGGAGUAUAUACAAACAAGUCUGAUAGUUGGAUUGUUGAAAUUAAUUUUGCAGACUGCGAAAAUUAUCGAAGGAAUUAAAUAUGCCAAUCAUGUCUCUCACCUUUGCCCAAUGAAAUAUUAUAUUUGGCGCGAAAGUUUACCCGAUGACUAAAGUUUUGCCCAUCGAACUCUAUUCAUCGGGCAAAAUUCUCUAAAAAAAAUAAAAAAGUUGACCCUUUUUGCCCGACUACGUUUGUAUUCCGUCAGGGGCAUAUGCUUAUGUGUAAUCACGUUUAUUUAAUCAGAUUGUUUUUUUGUAUGCACCCGAAGUUGAAUUUCAUUCUAUCUAUUUUAAAAGAAACACCAUAUUUCAUUAAUGAUAGGAGCAAAUACAUGAUUCAUAAUAUAUAGAUGAAGAACAUGACCCAAAUUGGAGGAUACUUGCAAACAAACAUCUGAAAUACAAAAGAAUAAUUAAAGAUGUUGCAAGACAACGCUAAAACAACGCUAAAAGAGACGGAGGAUCCAUAUAAACGAUGCAUCUAGUAUGAGAUCAUGAAAGAGACGAACACUCUCAAAACAAUUGCGCGAUACAAAACGUUAUGCUUCUAUAUGAAAACGUCGCGGCUCCUUGCUAAUAGUAUCUUUAAUGCUCCUUUAGUAAUUAAAAGUAAACUCGUGUAGUUAGAAAAUAUAGAAGCAUAACGUUUUGUAUCAUAUAAUUUACCUAACAUAAUUUCUCCAACUCGUGUAGUUAAAAAAUAUGAUACUUUAAAUUAAAAAUAACGUUAGAGAAAUUAUAUUUUUAGAUCACAAUUACGAGGUAUUUUAUGUGUCAGUUGAUGCGGCGUGUCAUGUCAUGAUAAAGGGAAACUUGCACACAUAUAUAUAUAUAUUAUUCAAAUCCAUUAUUUUCUUUUUAUUUGUUUUAUAUGAAAAGACAUACAAUAUCACUUUUCCAUGAAAAGCUUUAAUGACAAGCCAAAACACUGUUUCAAAAGUUUAAAAAACAUAAAAGGAAAUAAAAACCAUUGUUUGUUGACAAAAGUUUUGAUGCCAUAUAAUUUAGUUGUAGGCGUCCUGGUGCUCCAAGAGGUAGUUCUCAAUCAACUUGAAGAGGUGGGAGGCCUUUUCUUUGCCAGCCUUAACAUGCUCUUCCUUGAUCUCAACGUCACCCUUGGUGUGGUAGUGGCUGGUGCUCUUAAUGACGGAACCGCUGCCGGAAGCCACUAACUUAGUCUCAUAAGAGAUCUUCUCAAUUGUCUCAGAGAUAGCAUCUCCUUCAAUCACACUGUACUUGUAGACAAAGUUUUCCUUGUCAACCCCAUCAAUUCUGUGCUUCACAUAGCUGUAUGUGCUACCUUCACCAAAGUUGAUCUUCUUAAUGGUUCCAACGCCGCCAUCUCCUUCAAGGAUCUCAGCGCUCUUCACUGCUUGUGGUGCAAUCUUGGGGAUGAGGUUGUCAGCAUCAAGAACAAAGGCAUUGAACAACCUAGCAGGGGGGAUGACGGAGGUGAAUUCGGAUUCGUAUGUGAAGACACCCAUGAUUCUGAGAUGCGUUUGGGAGGUGAGGAAAAACUAAUUGAUAAAGAGGAAGACUGAGGAAGAAAGAUGAUGUAUUGGGAGGUUUUGAGGUGUGAAUAGCUGAAGAGGAGGUAUGGUAUUUAUAGGCCGAGGGUGCCUGAAUGUGGAUGAAUAGGUUUAUGCCAUUUCCUUAUUGUUUAAUUGGUUCUAUUCAUUGUGACGUGGGAACCAUUACUUUUAUACUUGGAAUGUUUGUAUUUUAGUCAAGAGAAGAACCAUCUGCUAAUUGAGUAAAAAAAAUAAAAUUAUAGCCAUUUAAUCCACGAGCUCAAUUAUUUCUAUCCCACUGUUUUAUAUAUAGAAGUUAAAAUUUUGCAUUUGCAUGCAAUGAGUGCUUUAGAGAUGACCACAUUCUCUGACACUUAGCAACUUUUACACUUUCUGUGAGAACCAGAGCAUUGAAUUGGAAUUCCUUUUCAGUAAUUGAUUGAGCUUAUUCCUUUCUAUAUUUUUUUAGUCCAAAACUGAUACCUGUGUCUCAAUCAACAAUGACUGCCAUGGCUAUGAAUUCAAUAAUUCUGAUAAAGUGAUCAGACGAGACUACAAAAAUAACAACUUUGUUCUUUGUCGGGUAUUGAGAUUUGAAACCAAAUUGGGCCGUUUUGUUGUCUCCUAUAUUUAUCUAAUUUUGUAUAUUCACAAUCAACAUGGUCAUUGGCUGUGUACAUAAAAUAGUUAAUAGAUACGAGGACUGUAUAUUAGGACUUUGUUAUAAUUGAACAUUUUGAAUCUUGCCUUUUCCGUUUGAAGAUGUAGAAACCCCACUUAAAAUGAUGGGCAAUCAAUGUUGACUCAAUGCAGCCAUAUGUUGGAGAAAUACAAGUCAAGUACCCUAAUUUGAACUUCUGGAACUGCAUACUAGUUGUGAUGUAGUGGGGACAACAAUAUUAUGAAGCAAACAGCAAUUUGUAAAACAAGGUUUCACCAAUUGGGCAUUAGACACCAAUUCAUUUCGGAUAAUAUUUGGGUACUCACCUUUUAAUUUUGUUCAAUGAUAUUUUAAAAAAUGUUAUUUAAUUUUUCUUGGGCUUUUAAAAAAUGAACAUGUGACAUUUUUUUAUUGAACCAAAUCAAAAAGUGAGUACAUCAAUACUCACUAGUGAGUACCUAAGUAUUAGUCAUUCAUUUCAUCCCCAUCAGUGUACUAAUUAACCUCAGUAAAUUAAAUUCAUACGGUUUCAUAAAAGUUUUAGUUGCGAGGACCCUCGACAGUCUAUAUAUGAGAUCACUACAACAAACAAAAUGGUCUGUUAUUGAGGAAAUCUUUUGGAGGAAACCUAGUUUUCUCGCUAUAGAACACUUUUUACAAGGAUAUUAUUUCGUCUUCGCAAAAACUGACCCAAUUUUGAUUACAAGUCCUGUCCUUACACUAGCGAGAAAUUUAAAUAUUUUGCAAGAAAACGUUUCCUCACUGUCGACGGACUCUUAGCUUGGUAAUCUACACUUACUCACUAUAGCGAGUAAAAGUUUUAGGGUUUAACAAAAUGGAGACUUUGAGCAAGGAAUAUUUUUUUUUCUCACUAAACAACGUUUUUGUUGUAGUGGAUGUACAAUUGGAUCCACAUACAUCAACAAUUAACAAUUCAUCAUACUUUUGGACGGGUUUAUUAAGAGGGUGUCUGCCGUAUAAAAUAAGUGGAUCUGAUUAAAUUAGUCCGGUCCAAUUUGAUAUGAGAGGGUGCCAAACACCCGGCUCCAUAUUAGUAGUCCUAUAUGGUGCUAUAUACAAUGUACCAAGCGAUGCCUUAGUGAUUGAUAUAUGUCUUGAUAAAUGAUAUAUAUCAUCUAUUUGCUAAAGUAUCUUUAAUGCUCCUUUUGUAAUUUAUAUAUGUCUUGACAAAUGAAUGUAUAUAUCAUCUAUUAUCUGAAUAAUAGACGAUACAUACAUUCAUUUAUCACACUAUAUAAAAAAAAAUUGGUAAUUGUCAAAUUAUAUAAUGGUUAGGCCAACUCGUGUAGUUAGAAAAUACUGAAAAUAUGACUUUAACCCUUAAAAUUUAAUUUUCAUUACAUAAAACCCGACAUAAUUUUUUUAUUUGAUUAAAACCCAUUGACUAAGCUCCACACAAGCAAAUUCAUUAACUAUGUUUGACUUCACCAUUGUACAUUUUUUGAAUGCCUAAUAUACCCUUAAUUACAUUUUUGACCUAUACAAUUAAUUGUAUACAGAUUAAAAGGUGAAUGAAUGAUUCUUGAAAAGAGAAAUAAGCAUUAAUAUUCAUACUAUGAUUCGAUCACAAUAUAUAUGAUGUAAUUUAACAAAUAUGUGGGGAAUCAGUAAAUGUGAAAAACUAAAAAAUUUCUCUCUGGGGAAACACUAGGGUUUCACUAGGAGAGCAACGAUUUAUUGAAUUACGACGCCGUCAUUGAGGUAAUCGUGGUGGCAAGGGGCCGUGUCAUUGUAGGGUGUGGCAGUGACUGAUCCGACGACUUAGGUGUGAAUGAUUAUUAGUUUGGCGCGUCUCGUUGGGGGAAAACUUUGGCAGUUAUCUCGAACAUGUGUGCUUGUGGUGGUAAGGCAUAUGGAUGAGAUGAUUUCGAAGUUCGCUGAAAGAUUUGUUCUCACUACGGAGGAACAAAAAGUGGUGGUGAUUGAUGAUAAGGAGGGUGCGCUCCUUAGGAAUAUGAAGGUUUUCCUUGUGGGGAGAGUGCUUACUAGUAAGACAUUCAACAAAGAAAGAUUUAAAAGGCAGAUGUUAAAUCUCUGGUGCCCGAAGGCGAAGGUUAUGAUAGUGGAGUUGGAGGAAGGUUUGUUCUCUUUUGGUUUUGAUAAUAGCCGUGAGAGGGCUAUGAUUAAAAAAAGGGGGCCUUAGCUGUACGACGACGUUCUAGUGGUGUUGGUAGAGGCAAAUGUGUUGGUAAACCCGGUGUCUAAUCCGUUGACCUCCCAAGAAUUUUGGAUCCAAGUAAAGGGUUUGCCUCUUCCUUACAUGACCCGUCAUAUGGGUCAAUUCAUUGGGAAUCAGAUAGGUCACCAUGUAUUGACUUAUCAAAGCAUGAUGAGUGAUAUGUUUGGUAGUUGGUAGUAUACUGCGUAUCCGGGUUGCUGUUGAUAUCCAGAAACCACUACCGAGAGGUUUGAGGCUUGUCAUUGAGGGAUCUGAGGUGGGAAUUGAUUUACGCUAUGAGAAGAUUCCUAUCACCUGUUUUCUAUGCGGCAUUGUAGGGCACUUAGAAGAGCACUGCAUGCACUUCAAGGGGCAGAAUGAUGAUGAUAUGUCGAAGCUGUAUGGUCGCUGGUUUCAGUUUGAUGUGUUAGGUGCGGAUUAUAGAAAGCCAAAAGGCACGCGUUUUGGGUUGGAUGAAGUACAGGGGUGGUCCAUGAAGGUUCCAGUGUUUGUGGAUGAGGUGAUGAAGGAGGAGGGGAGUAACGUUAAUGACCACAUGUUGGGCAGUGUGGUAGUAUAAGAGGGACGACAGACUAGGGUUUCUCUCAAUGGAGCAUAUGUUAUACCUGAUUUGAAUGACAUGAGAGAGUCAGAGGAGUUGCCAGUGGAGUAGAUGGCCAUCAUCCCUUUCCAUCCGUAAAUGUUUCAACAUGAUACAUGUGGAGCUAUGGUGUUUGGUGUGGAUCUCAAUGUGGCGCCACCUAGUGAUGCUGAGUCUCUCCAAGUUUUAGGUUUUGAUGACUCUGGAGGUGGAAGAUGAGGGAUGGGGAUGGGUUUAAAGGAUGUGGGUUUCUUUGAACCCCGUGGUAAUGAGGUAGUGGAGUGGGACCUGCAAUUUUGGGGGGACGGGGGAUGAGCAUGGUAGUAGUCUUGGGCUGAAUGUGGGUGGUAGUGGGUCCCGAACGGGGUGGAACAAGCAGAUAGUCAGGAAGGACCAUGUUAGUAACCCAGAGUUGUCUCAACAUGUGGGGGAAGAGAUACAGAAGGCGAACUCGCUGCAGGGAACGUUGGGUCCAAUGUUUAAUGGGAUAAAGUGGCCUAGUUUGGGGCUGGACCCUUUCAACCUAAUGCCUAUUAUUAAGCACAAUCAGAGGGCUCGAAAAAAAGAAGCAAUAUCGACGUAAGAGACAGGGUGGGUUUCCCUUGGGUAAUGUGCAGUCAGGGAUUCCAACACAGAAGUUUUUUCUCCCUACUUGAGCUAGGGAAGAGGCAGGUCUGUGAGGAGUUGGGUGUCAAAGCACGAUAUGGAGGACGUAGAAGGUUGUUGGAAACAGAAGAGGUUAUUAGUUCAUCGGCGGAGGUUGAUGUGGUUCAACCCCACCGUCAUCAAUGAGUUGCUUAAGUUGGAACUGCCGGGGGCUUGGGAACCUUCGUGCAGUUCAUGCUCUCCAACGUUUAAUUUAUGUCCAAGAUCCCACUGUAGUGUUCUUGUGUGAGAUAAAGAGUAAUGCUCGUCACAUAGACCAUUUAUGUUUAAAGUUGAAUUUUGAUCGUAGUUUUACUGUUGACAAUAGAGGUAAAUCUGGUGGUUUAUGUGUUUUGUGGAAGGAUGAAAUAAAUUUGUCUUUGAGAUCUUAUUCUUUGAAUCAUAUUGAUUUCGAUGUGGGUGACCCUAAGGAGGUGUCUUAUUGGCGUCUAACCAUUUUUUAUGGAUAUCCUGCUGUGUCUGAUCGAUAUAAGUCUUGGAGGCUUCUUUACUCUCUGUAGCCACGAGUAAAGGCCUUGGUUGUGUCUCGGUGAUUUUAAUGAGACUCUCCAAGCUCACGAGCAGGAAGGAGGCAAUGUAAGGCUAGACAGGCAAAUGGAAGGGUUCAUCUCAGUGGUGGAAUCUUGUAAUUUCAUUGAUCUCAGUUACUCGGGGAAUAAAUUUACUUGGUUUACAACAAAAGGGGGAGGAAUUAAAGUAAGAUUGGAUGAUGCCUUGGGUAAUCAGAAAUGGGUUGACUUGUUUCCGCGGUUCUCAGUUAAGCAUUUGAGCAAGUCUACGUCGGAUCAUGUUCCAGUGCAGGUUUAUUGGACGGGGCGAGUUCUAGAUCGUGGCAAGAAAUAGUUUAGGUAUGAAGAGUGUUGGAAUUUGCAAAAAGGAUGUUCAGAGGUGGUCCGUGAGGGUUGAGAAGGUGACGUUAAUGGGUCCCCCAUGUUUCAGGUCACUAAGAAGAUCAAGAUGACUCGAUUGAAGUUAAAUAAUUGGGUGAGAAGCUUUGCUAGGUCCGGACCUAUAAAGAUAAGAGAAGUUGAGGAUAAACUCACAAUUUUAUUGGGUCAUCCGUUUACAGAAGAGUCUAUUCUCUAAAAAAAAAAAAAGAGUUGGUUGGGAGGUUGAAUAGGCUACUUGAACAAGAGGAGCAAUUUUGGCGUCAACGGGCAAAAGAAAAUUGGGUUAAGCUUGGCGACUGCAAUACCAAAUAUUUUCAUUAGAAAGCAACUCGGAGGCAAAAGCGUAAUUUUUUGCAUGGCUUAAGGGAUGAUGCGGGGGUAUGGCAUGAAGACAGAGCUGGUAUAGAGGAAGUUGUAGUUUCUUAUUUUUCCAAGUUAUUUAUGUCUAAUGGGGUGCAUAACUUGGAAGACAUUUUAUGCCAUAUUGUUCCGUCGGUUACGGAGGAAAUGAAUGCUAAGCUUGAUCAUCCAUAUUCAGAUGAGGAGAUCAAAGCUGCUGUUUUUCAUAUGCAUCCUACGAAAGCUCCCGGUCCUGAUGGCAUGACUCCUAGGUUUUACCAAAAACAUUGGAGAGUCGUAGGUACUGAUGUGUGCAAUGGUGUUCGACAUUUGUUGAUGUCGGGACAAAUGUUACGUAAAAUUAACUACACGCAUGUCACCCUCAUUCCUAAAGUUAAAGAUGCCACGAUGAUGACACAACUUCGACCAGUCAGUCUCAGUAAUUUCAUUUACAAGAUUUUGGCGAAGAUGCUUACGAAUAGGUUAAAGACUAUCUUGCCACGGAUUAUUUCUCCUACUCAAAGUGCUUUUAUUCCGGGUAGGUUAAUUUUAGAUAAUUAUUUGGUGGCCACUGAGGUUGCCCACUACAUGCAUAAGCAUUUAUCGAGGUCCAAUGGGCUAAUGGCUCUAAAGCUUGAUAUUAGCAAGGCCUACGAUCGAGUGGAAUGGAGUUUUCUUGAAGCAUUGAUGUACCGAAUGGGGUUCUCUGAGCGGUGGAUCUGUUUGGUUAUGUUGUGUGUCACAACGGUGUCCUAUUCAUUUAAGGUGAAUGGGAAUUCGAUGGGCUAUGUGCAUCCGAAGUGCGGAAUUCGUCAGGGAGACCCUCUAUCUCCUUACUUGUUUGUUAUAUGUGCUGAGGGAUUAUCGGCGUUACUAAGGAAGGCGAAGUUUAAUGGGGAGCUGCAAGGUAUCAAAGUGUGUCGUAAGGCACCUAGUAUUCACCAUCUUUUCUUCGCGGAUGAUAGUUUUCUAUUUGCUCGUGGUAUCGUUGGUGAAUGCAGAUAUAUUAUAAAGUUAUUACGUUUGUAUGAGAUGGCAUCGAGACAAGCGGUGAAUUUUGAGAAGAGCUGUGUUUCCUUUAGUCCGAAUCUCACUACCUUUGAUAAGCAAUUAUUAGCCAAUUGUCUGGGUAUGAAGAAGGUGGAGUUCCAUGAUAAAUAUCUGGGGUUGCCGGUGCUUAUUCAGAAAUCGAAGAAGGAAACUUUUGCGUACGUAAAUGAUAGAGUGUGGAAGAAAUUACAAAGUUGCCGGGGGGGGGGCUUAUUGAGUAGUGCGAGGGCGAGAGUUAUUAAUCAAAACGGUGGCUCAGGCCCUGCCUAUGUAUUCUAUGCAAUGUUUUCUUCUUCCUAAAUCUUUAUGUGAGAAGCUGAAUAGGAUGAUAGCUAAGUUUUGGUGGAGCGGUGAUCCGGGUAAGCGAAAAAUACAUUGGCUUAAUUGGCGUAUUCUGUGUAAGCCUAAGCACGAGAGGGGACUUGGCUUCAGAGAUCUUUAUGCUUUUAAUUUGGCGAUAUUGGCUAAGCAAGCAUGGCAAUUCUUACAGCAACCGAAUUCAUUCGUUUUCCAGAUUUUUAAAGCCAGGUACUUUCCUAGGUCAGGGUUUAUGGAAGCAUUAGUAACUCCUAAUAGUUCGUAUGUGUGAAGGAGUAAGCUUCAAGGCAAGUGAUUCACAAAGGCCACCGUUGGCAAGUGGGUAAUGGGCAGAGAAUUCAAAUUUGGAAAGACAAUUGGAUUCCUAGGGAUUCGUUUUUUCGUAUUUUAACUCCACCUCCGAGGGAUUAGGAUAUGGAGGCUAAAGUGGUUGAACUUCUUUGGGGGGGGGGGGUACUGCGGCAAUGGAAUGUCCCGCUGCUAAACAUUCUAUUCUCUCAUAAGGAAGUGGAGUUAAUUCGAAACACACGGUUGAGCGUACGAGAUGUUGAGGAUAGACGUAUAUGGAAUUUUGAACGCAAUGGGAAGUUCUCGGUUAGGAGUGCUUAUCAGGUGGCUCGGGGCAUUCUUGUUAAUACUGGUAGUGGUGCAGACGGAUCUUCAUCCACUUUGGGUGAAGUGGGGGAGAAAUAUUGGAAGAAAAUUUGGAAUGCGAGUGUACCGGGGAAGGUGAAUAUUUGUACUUGGCGUGCUUGUUUGGACUCUUUACCCACUCGUGAAUCUACAUAAAAGAAGAGUGAUAGAAGACAAGGUGUGCUUGGUCUGUGGGUUGCAAAUAGAGUCAACGGAGCAUAUUUUUAGAGAUUGUAGCAUGUCGAGAGCGGUGUGGUUUCAGAGUUUGGGGAUAAGGGUGGAUAGCGGAUGUGAGCGCAUGUCCUUUAUGCAGUAGAUGGUCACGAAUGCGCAACAACUCCCGGUUUUUGGUUUUAUGCUUUGGUUGAUGUUAGUAUGGGCCUUAUGGAAACACAGAAAUGAGGUGUUGUGGAAUAGGGCUCGAAUGCCACCACAUGCGAUAAUCUUAAGGACUGAGGGUUGGCUGUAUGAGUAUCAUAAAUGGCAUAAAACCCAGAAUAGGAAGUCGGUUAGGGAGGUUAAAAAAUGGAGGAAACCUGGGGUGAGAUGGUUAAAGUGUAAUUUUUAUGGGGCUUGGAGUAAAACUGAAUCUCGGGGGAGGGGGGGGAUAUGGUGUUGUGAUUAGAGAUCACACGGGUAGUUGUUUGGGGGCGGUGGUUGGGCCUGUUGUUGGGGCGGCUUCGACUUUGUACACGGAGUUGUUUGCAGCUUAUCAGGUAUUAGGGCUGCUCAAGAGUAGAUACCCGUCUGAUAUAAAGAUAAAUUUGGAAGGAGAUUAAUCUCUAGCGUUGGCUGUUAUGGCAGGGCUAGAAGAGGAUGUGUCCGUUUGGGGGCCUGUUAUUAAUGAUUUGAGAAGUCUUCUUAUGGAAUUGCUUUUUAUGGAGUGUGGACAUGUUCAGAGGGAAGCUAACUCAGUUGCGCAUCGUCUUGCUCGGAUGGGGCUCAAUUGUCUUCAGGAGGUGUUGUGGUUUGAGGUGCCCUCGGAUUUGAUUCAAUAUCUCUUAUUUGAGGAAGGAAUGUAAUCUUGUUUUCUAUUGUUCAUUUGAGGAUAGUUCUUUCGUUGUGCCGGACACUCUUUACCUUAGACCGGGUUGAAAUCCCCGAUAAGGUGUUUAUUGAGGCCCAUUUAGCACACUAUUCUCAGUUUGUACGAAUUCUGAUUUGUUUUAAUGAAUAUCAUACUUGUUUAAAAAAUAAAAAAAAUAAAAAAAUAAAUGUGCCUAAUAGUUGUGCUAAUAUAUGGAGAAUAAUUUACCUACAACAUAAAGAAAUGUUAUUUGCCUCAAAGUUAUUUUACAUAUAAAUAUAGGUAAAUUAUUUUACACACACAUAUAUAAUAAUAAUAUUUUACAUAUAAAUAUAGGCAAAUUAUUUUACACGCACAUAUAUAAUAAUAAUAAAAUGUGCCUUAUAUAUAUUACUACAUGUAAAAUAAUUUAUCUGCAACAUAUAGAAAUGUUAUUUUAUUCAAAGUUAAUUACCUAUAUUUUACAUAUAGAUAUAGGCAAGGUAUAAAAUAUCGAUGAUAUCGGAAAUAUCGGUAGUAAAAAAACACGGAAAUAUCGAGAUAUUAUCGAUAUCGAUAAAAAUUGAAUAAAAACCAUGGAAAUUGUAAGAAAAACUUGGAAAUUUUUAUUGAAACUUUGGAGAAUGUUUAUUUAGUCAAUUAUCUAUUAGUUUAUAAAAAAAAAUUAGAAGGAAAUGCAUUACAUGAUGGAUUUAACUUAUUUAAGUUGAUUAUACAGCGAGCUGGCAAACACUAUGAGUGUAGAAAAUAUGUAGUAAUUAAUGAAAAAAAGAUUAAACACACCAUAAUCAUUUAUAUAUAAUGAUUUACUACAAUAUUUUACACUUUAUACAUUGCAUGUGCAAAAGAAAUUGUCAAAGAUUCAUUGUCAUGUGCAAAUUUGUUUCUUGCAAAAAGAAUUCAAAACAAAACCAUAUAUAUAAAUAUUUUAGCACAUGUUCACAAAAACAUAAGUGAUAUGGUGGUUAAGGUGUUGAAGGAAUAAAGUGGGAGGGGUUCGAAUCCCCUUGGUGUUAUUUUAGCAUAUUUUCAUUUUCAUUGUCAUAUGCAAAUUUGGGUUUUAUCUCGCGAUAUAUAUCCCAAAUAAUGUAUUAAAAUCAUUAAAAAUAUCGUAUUUCGAUAUUAUCGCGAUAAUAUUGAUAUUUUAACGAUAUAUUAAUGGAUAGUGUAUAAAAUAUAGCGAUAUGAAAAAAUACAUGCAAAUUAAUUUACCUACAACAUUAAUUUACCUAUAUAUUACAUAUAAAUAUAGGUAAAUUAUGUUACACACCCUAAUAAUAAUGUGGCGAAUAUAUAUAUAUAUGUAAUGGUUUACCUACAAAAUAUAAAAAUAUUACUUUAUUUCAAAUACAUAUGAUUAUUAGUGGCUAAAAAACCGUUAGAAGGGUUAUGGCAUAUGUUGUAAAUUAUAUGAAGUAAAAGGUCAUUUAUUUUCUAUUGUGGCAACAUAUUUGAAUUUUGGGUUUAUAUUGGAUGUUUAAAGAUAUGUGGGUUUUAAUCUAAAAAUUACGAGUUGUAUGGGUCUAUAUCUAAAGAACCCUAUAAAAUAUGAUACUUUAAUUUAAGAGUAAUGUUAGAGAAAUUACAUUUUUAGAUCACAAUUACAAAACAUUGUAUGUGUCAGUUGAUACGGUGUCAUGUCAUGCCAUGGUGCAUGAUAAAGGGAAACUUGCACACAUAUAUAUAUUAUCCAAAUCUUAUUUUCUUUUUACUUAUUUUUAUAUAAAAAGACAUACAAUAUUCACUCUUCAAUGAAAAGCUCCAAUAACAAGCCAAAUUACAAGCCAAAACACUGUUUCAGAAGUUUAAAAAACAAAAAAGGAAAUGAAAACCGUUGUUUGUUGACAUAAGUUUUGAUGCCAUAUAAUUUAGUUGUAGGCGUCUUGGUGCUCCAAGAGGUAGUUCUCAAUCAACUUGAAGAGGUGGGAGGCCUUCUCUUUGCCAGCCUUAACAUGCUCUUCUUUGAUCUCAACAUCACCCUUGGUGUGGUAGUGGCUGGUGCUCUUGAUGACGGAACCGCUGCCAGAAGCGACCAACUUAGUCUCAUAAGAGAUCUUCUCAAUUGUCUCAGAGAUAGCAUCUCCUUCAAUCACACUGUACUUGUAGACAAAGUUGUCCUUGUCCACCCCGUCAAUUCUGUGCUUCACGUAGCUGUAUGUGCUACCUUCACCGAAGUUGAUCUUCUUAAUGGUUCCAACUCCACCAUCUCCUUCAAGGAUCUCAGCGCUCUUCACUGCCUGUGGUGCAAUUUUGGGGAUGAGGUUGUCAGCAUCAAGAACAAAUGCAUUGAACAACCUAGCAGGGGGGAUGACGGAGGUGAACUCGGAUUCAUAUGUGAAAACACCCAUGAUUCUGAGAAGUGAAUGGAAAGUGAGAAAAGAAUAACUAAUGAAGAGGAAGAUCUAAGAAAGAAAGAUGAUGUAUUGGGAGGUUUCUUGAGAUGUGAAGAAGUGAGGAGGAGGUAUGGUAUUUAUAGGCUCAGGCUGAAGGUGUGUGAAUCAAAAGGUUUAUGCAAGUUCCUAAUUGUUUAAUUGGUUCUAUUCAAUGUGACGUGGGAGCCAUUAUUUUUGUACAAGGGAUUUUGUAGUUUAGUCAAGGGAAGGACCAUAUGGAAAUUGAAUAAGGUACCCAAUUAAUCCACGAUGUGGACAAGUUAAAAUUUCCAUGUGCAUGCAAUGAGUACUUUAGAAAUGAUAUGAUUCUCUCACAUCAAGUAAACAAACUGACACCUUUUGUAAUUCUGUUUGAUAAUUUUUUCUAUAUAAUCAACGUUCCAAUUUUACUUGACCUAUAGAGGAAGAUUUAACUCGAACAUUUGUGUAUAUAGGCUUUCUUCCUUCUUCCUUUCCAGUCAAAUACCGAAAGACUAUAUGAUAUGAGCAAGUUGAUAGAAAUUUUGUCUGGUUAAACAAUAAUUUAGUUUAUCUGAGACAAUGUAUGGUGAUGUGGUAAUUCAGCGUUUAUCAAACACUAAUAAUAGCUGUUUUAUCUUGGAUUAAUUCACAUCCUUAAUUGUUAUAUAAUUCUAUAUCUUGAGCCAUUUCAAUUUGUAGAUGUGAUCAAAACCCAACCGAAAAUGAUGGGCAAACGACAUUGACCCAUUGCAGCCUAUUUUGAAAUGCAAGACAAGUGUAUAUCCUAAUUUGAACUUCUGGAAGCUGCAUACUAGUUGUGAAGUAGUAGGGACAACCAUAUUCUGAAACAAGUUGGUUUGGUCAAUUAGGGAUCACACACCGACCCAUUUGAUGUCCAGUUGUGUACUAGCUAAUUAACCUCGGUAUUAUUGUAAUUCAAAUUUCACCUACGAACAAUCCAUUUGAAUUGGAAAAACGGAAAAUCUAAGAGGAAGUGAUCAACUUCAUUCUUUUUCAGGUUGCCUUCCCUUGGUCCCCAGUAAUGAAAGGUGCACCAAAAAGAAAAGCCUAUACUGAAUGGUUAAAGAUUUCAAACCAAUUUUUUGUUACAUAUACAUAACACCUUUACAACAAUUUUACAGUUAAAGAUUUCAAACGUAGGGUUAGAUAAAAUGAUGUUAUUGAUAAUUGUAAGUUCUUAUAAAUGCAUACUAUAGAAUAUCAUACAUACUAUACAAAAAAGUGUUGAGAGUAUCAAUCUCACAUCAUGAAAAAUAGGACCUUGCAUGUGCUUAUAGUAAUUAGGCAAUUCCCCAUAUUUCCAAUUGUUUUUUUUUUUUGUGGAACCUCAAGUUUCUUCAUGGUACCAGAGCAAGUUGUCCCGCAUUUGAAGCUCAAUGGCCACAUGUGCUCCAUAUCUCCCCAUUUGUGCUGUCCAAGUUUAGGCUUGAAAAUGCGUUACACGUAAUGCGGGCGUGUUGAGCGUAUCAAUCCCACAUCAGAGAAAUGAAGGACUUUUGCAUGAGUUUAUAAGUAAUUUUGUCACGUCCCAUAUUGAAAAAAAAAAAAGUUUUGCUUUUGCUACUUUUCAGCUUCAAAUGACAUGUGACAUUGUAAAUAAGCAGACUUAUCAAACACAAAUUUUACUCGAACUUCUUUUCAUCCCGCUUAAAAUGACCCGUGACUUUGCAAAUAAGCAGACUUAUCAAACACAAAUUUUACUCAAACUUUUUUUUCAUCCCCACUUUUAAAAUAAUUUAAGUAGUACCAAACCUUACCUUAAUUUUUUUUUUAUGAUUUUUUUUUUAACAAACGAUAUUACCUACACUAUAGGAGUGGAGGAUUGAGCUAAGCCUAACAAUGGGCUAGCAAUAAUGUGGUAAAAAUUCGCUUUUGGCAAGAAUUGAACCUAAGACCUCUCACUUACGAGUGAGGGAAUACCACUAAACCAUAGUAAGUGACAUUUAUUGUAUUUUUAGUUUGGCUAUAUUACUAUUAGGUACAAUUGUUUUAGGUGUUCAAACAUAAAAUAAAAUUGAAAAGCAUCAGGUUUUACAAAUCACAACUAAUGUCUGAGCCCUAACGAAUCAAUAACGCAAAAAUUAUCGGACUUAAUGAACAAAAACAUAAAAAUUACAAACCGUACCAAAUUGAUCAAACCGAAUUUACCAAACCUAAUGAACUAAAACAUAAAAAUUUCAAAUUGUACCAAAUUGACCGUACCAAAUCUAUCAGACCUAAUGAACUAAAACAUAAAAAUACAUACCGUACCAAAUUGACUGUACCUAAUCUACAUGACCUAAUGAACUAAAACAUAAAAAAUAUUAACAGUAACAAAUUGAUCGUACCGAAUCUAUCAAACCAGUAUUCUAAAAAGCGGACAGAAAAUCGGAAAGCUUGUUGGGCUCUAUUUCUCAUUUGUUUGGCCUGCAACCAUUGAGGGGGCUAAAAAAUAGCCCCCUUUUGGUUGGAGAUGAGUUUUUUUGUCAAAGAGCUAUGUUUUGGCUUAUGGCCUUAUGGCCCAUUCGGUUGGAGAUUGUAUAAAAUAUAGUUUGACACUGUUCAUUAAAAAAUAAUUUCUUACAGGGCUAUAGGGCUAAACAUGACCAUUUGCCCCGUUCGAUUAGAGAUGGCGUAACGAUCCUGAGUUAGCCGUCGCACCACAUCCACAUAGCUGUGCCGGUAGAUUAUCAACCAGUUUAUGCAAGUUGGUAUACAAUUCUGCUUUUGUCCCUACGGCCUCACGACUACUAUAUGCACUUCCAGAAGUUCAAUUUAGGAAUGACUUGACCUGCAAUUCAACAUUGGCUGCAAUGCGUCGACUUUUGAUUGGCCGUCAUUUGGCUUUCACAUCUCCAAAAUAUUCAAUUGUAACAAAUAUUAUCCAAAUACACAGUCCUACUAUAUAUUAUCUUCUUCAGAUGCCCUUAUGUCCGCAGCCCGUGACUAUGCCAGUUGUGGAUGUAUAUAAAGUAUACUAAUAGACAACAUGAUUAGAGAUACUCCAACAAUACGUCAACAAAAAUUGGAUUAUUGAAAAGUCCAGUAAAUAUAACAACGCAAAACACAAAGUGUUAAGUUGGGAGAGAAUAUUACCUCUAAAAUACUAAUUACUUUUCGGUCUAGUGGUAUUCUUUAAUAUAAAAAUAUAUCUUGGUUUUAAGAAAAAUGAUGCGUGAUCUCUAAAGCACUAAUCGGUAAGCACAAGAAAAGAUUGAGGUUAGUCCACCUCGUGGAGUAAUUUUCCAUUUCUUAUUCAAUUUCCAGAUGGUCCUUUUCCUUGAUUACACUACAAAAUUUCCUUGUACAAAAGUAAUGGUUCCCACGUCCACGAUGAAUAAAACCCAUUAAACAAUUAAGAGCUUGCGUAAACCUUUUGAUCCACUUUCUGCCUCAGCCGAUAACUACCAAUACAUCCUCCUCACUUCUUCACAACUCAAAAUCUCCCAAUACAUCCUUUCUUUCUUUCUUAGUCUUCCUCUUCAUCGAUUAUUUUCCCACUUCACAAACACAUCUCAGAAUCAUAGGUGUUUUCACAUACGAUUCCGAGUUCACCUCCGUCAUCCCCCCCCCCCAUUAGGUUGUACAAUGCCUUUGUUCUUGAUGCUGACAGCCUCAUCCCCAAGAUUGCACCAUAGGCAGUGAAGAGCACUGAAAUCCUUGAAGGAGAUGGCGGAGUUGGAACCAUUAAGAAGAUCAACUUCGGCGAAGGUAGCACAUACAGCUAUGUCAAGCACAGAAUCGAUGGAGUUGACAAGGACAACGUUGUGUACAAAUACAGUGUGAUUGAGGGAGAUGCUAUCUCCGAAACAAUUGAGAAAAUUUGCUACGAGACUAAGUUGGUGGCUUCCGGCAAUGGUUGUGUCAUCAAGAGUACCAGCCACUACCACACUAAGGGAGAUGUUGAGAUCAAGGAGGAGCAUGUUAAGGUUGGCAAAGAGAAGGCCUCCCACCUCUUCAAGCUGAUUGAGAACUACCUCUUGGAGCACCAGGAUGCCUACAACUAAACAUUAUCUGCUGCUACAUUCAUGUGUUAUUUAGUCUCGUGUCAUCUUUGCCAUCAAAUAUUGUUGUGGUUUUAAUCCGUUUUAUAUAUCUUUUUCCCUUCCAAAACAGAGUUUGGCUUGUACGUAAUUGAAGGUUUUGAUUGAAGAUUGAAUAGCGGAUCUGAUUAUUCAUGCAUGUUGUUGUUGUUCUUGUUUUUUUUUUUUUUUUUUUUUUUUUAAUGCAAAAUUGUAGUUACUAAUGUUAAGUUCCAUUUUCCUAACUGCUUUAGUUUACUUAACACAUGAGAAGCGACAUUUCAAUUACCAGCAAAUCAUAAUAAUUGAAUAACAUUUGAAUCUCUACCACAUAAUAGCAUAAAGUGAUGAAAUGAAAACUCUGAUUUCGUUUUCCUUGUAAACCAUUUGGUAAUUCAUACCAUAAAUACGCCCAUGAGUUAAACAUACCCAUGAUGAUGAUUUAAGAGCUUGCCUCAUCUGUCAUGACUCAUCUUCAUCCGCGGCUCUUGCUUCUUGCACACGAAUUUUCUUAGCUAAUCUUAUUUUCGAUUUUUAAAUUAAUGUACAUCACGCCAUACAUGUUAGGUCUGCUAUCCUAACGUGUGAUUUUAUUUUUAUAUUUCACCUAUUUCUUUUGGCGUUUCAAAGCUUGUUUUGCAGGUUUAUACCUUUUUGGGGGGUUAGGCCCUAUAUCACUUCCCUCUUUUUCUUGUAUUUCUAGUUUUGUUUUCAAGAAGAAUCAUGUUUAUGUUCCCCCCUCUCGUUUUGCUACUUUUCUGCUUAAAAUGACCCGUGACUUUGUAAAUAAGCAAACUUACCAAACACAAAUUUUACUCGAACGAUUUUUAUCCAUGCUUUUAAAAUAAUUUAAGUAGUACCAAACCUUACCUUAAUUGUUUUUUAUUGACAAAUGAUAUUAUCUACAGUAAGGAGUUAAGAGAUCGAGCUAAGCCUCACAUUGAGCUAGUAAUAAUGUGCUUCAAAUUUAUCUUUGGUGAGAAUCGAACCUAAGAGAUCUCACUUACAAGUGAAGAGAAAUACCACUAGCUAGACAAUCAUACUAAGUGCCAUUUAUUUUAGGGGUUCAAACAUAUAAAAAAAAGAAGAAAAGCAUUAGGUUUUUCAAAUCAUAACUAAUGUCUGAGGCCAAACGAAUCAAUAAUGUAAAAAUAUCGGACCUAAUGAACUAAAACAUAAAAAUUACAUACGCACCAAAUUGACUGUAGCGAAUCUACUGAACCUAAUGAACUAAAACAUGAAAAAUACAAACUAUACCAAAUAUACUAGAUCUAAUGAACUAAAACAUAAAAAAUAUGAACCAUACCAAAUUGAUCGUACCGAAUUUACCAGACCUAAUGAACUAAAACAUAAAACAUAUGAGCCGUACCAAAUUGGUCGUACCGAAUUUAUGGGACCUAAACUAUAUAACGAACCAAAUUGAAGUCACAACAUAAUAGACCCUACAAAACUUCGGACCUAAACUAGUACAACGUACCUAAUUGUUAUUUACAAAAUAUAACCAAACGUACCUGAUCAACCAACAGAACCAAACAAUGAAAUUCCCCACAUAGGCCUUUCAAUAAACCCAUGGUAUGCAUUGUAAGGUAAUGUUGUCUCUGCCAAGACAAUUUUUGGAUGUAAAUUAGUGCAUUCUCCACAUAAUAUCAUUAUGAGAGCUUUCAAAAGUAUGGUAAUGGAACUGGUUAUACAAUAUUUCAAAUUUGCAUAAUUAUAAAAAAAAUGGUACGUUAUAGACAAAAAAGAUGACAUUCUUGUAGAAAAUGAAGAUUGAUGUUACGUUUAUAGGUGAUAUUGAAUCUACAGUUACAUUUUUAAAACUUUGAUGGUGGUGGUUACGUUGCAAACAAUAUAACCCGAAUAUCUAUGAAUUUGAUAUGAUAUUCAAUCAUAAACUAACUAAAAAGAAUUAGGUGAUUGUUCUUUGUAUAAAAGUAAUCGAAUGUUGUUUCAUUUUUUGAGAUUAAAAUCAAAUACAAUAUUACACUUGAAUCAUAACUCCAUAUUGCAAAUAAAUACUGCUUUUGUAUGAGCAAAAGAAAAAACGAAAGCCACACGGCUGAAUAAACAGAAAAAAAAAAAAGGAGAGGACAGAAAAUUUGUUUCCCUACUUUUAGCAUGCAGAAUCAUAUGUAGAUCUAUGGUUUUAGUUAUAGGCAUCAGGGUUGGCCACAAGGUAGUUCUCAAUGAGCUUGAACAAACCAUGGGCCCUUUCUUUCCCAACCUUAACAUGCUCUUCCUUAAUCUCAAUAUCUCCAUUGGUGUGGUAGUGGCUAGUGCUUUUGAUGAUGGAACCGCUGCCGGAAGCCACCAACUUAGUCUCAUAAGAGAUCUUCUCAAUCUUAUCAGAAAUGACAUCUCCUUCAAUCAAACUGUAGUUGUAGACAAAGUUAUCCUUGUCAAUUCCAUCAACCUUGUGCUUCACAUAGCUGUAUUCACUUCCUUCACCAAAACUUAUCUUCUUGAUGGUUCCAACACCUCCAUCUCCCUCAAGAAUUUCAGCAGUUUUAACUGCUUGUGGAGCAAUCUUUGGGAUAAGGUUGUCAGCAUCAAGAACAAGAGCAUUGUACAACCUAGCAGGAGCGCAGACUGAGGCGAAUUCAGUUUCAUAUGUGAAGACACCCAUGGUGAUGAUUGAGAGCUUAGAAACUGAUCAAAGUAAGAAUGAAAUGUGAAGGAAGAAAAGAGAAAUUGAUAAUGAAGGUAUUUGAUGGUGGAAGAUAUGGAGGUGGUAUUUAUAGGUUAUUGGUGAGGGGCUGUUGUGUAAUGUGAACCCCUAUGGAUAGAGAAAAUUGGACAGUAUUUAGUUUCCCAUUGUGAACAUUUUAUUCAACGAAAGGCACCUCUAGAAGUUGAUUUUGUAUAUUCCAACUUAAUACAACUAGCUGGUGUGCUAAUUAAUAAUGUGGAAUUUUUUUAAUAGAAUGUUCUAACACGAGAUGAUCGGAAUAUUACAGCAGAGCUGGUGUGUUAAUUCUGUUGACUACUGACUCAAUAAUAUCUUUUUGGACUAGAAUAAAUCUAAGUUCCCUUUAUGAUUCAUUUCUUAUCUGAAGUUCUGAACUCUUUGAUCAACAUAAGGACUCCGAUGAAACUACAAUGUUGCUCGUUCCCAAGUGUUUUAUUCAAAUAGGGUCGCAUGAUUGGUUUAGAAUGUCGUCACAUUAGUGUUUCUGAAACUUCGACAUAAUAUUAAUUAAGAGCGGACUUAUUUGAAAGAGCCCGAAUAUUAGUAAGCAACCAGUCAAGUUAAUAUUUGUACAUUAUUUAAUCGACUCUAUGGCGCGAAUUUAGUUCCAUUGUACACAUGCAUGCUUAUUUCUUCUCAAGUGAGCCCAUCCUAACCCUACUCUUCUCCAACACACCCCCCAAAGUCUCUCUUUUCCGACGACGCCACCUGAAAUCGUUCUCUUCGACAACAACAUUUGUUCGAAGAUGAACGGUCAUGGGAGAGGAGAGAACGACAUCGAGAUGAGAGUAAUGGGAGUCAGAUGUUUGGUUACGUAGUUAAGGAUGUUUGGUUACAGGACUAGUGUGUAUAUCAAAUUGUUUAAAAUUGGCACAUAUUUGUAUCUUAUUAGGUCACUUAAGAGAGUGAAUAAAUUGAAUAUUUUCCGGUGAGUAUCCAAGUAUUAUCCUAUUAUUAAUUAGUUUUAUAGCAGAACUUCAAGUUCUUUCACCAUUUACAUUUUCAAAAGAUUUACAAGUAGUUUUGCUUUAAAAAAUAGAUGCAAAUUUAAAUUUGAGCCCACCAUCACUUUAUUAUCCCUCUUCCAGAAAAAAAAAAAAAAGAAAAGAGGAAAAACCAAACUUAUCUUUUGAUGUCCCUUUAAAUUUGCUCACUAAACUUUCCGACCAAAAGAAGCUCAAAACUUUAAGAAGGGCAACUUGUUCAAAGUAUUUCUGAAAGGUUCAUACCGAUCAUAAUUUGUGCCAACACUAUUACAGGUUGGAAUCAAGACUUUCAUUAAUAUUUCAUGAACAAUAUUACAAAAAUAUCAAUAUAUCUUUUAAUUUGAUUCCAAUUGUAACGUUUUAUUACUAUUUUUCUAUUAAUCAAAACAAAGCCAAAACAAAACAUUUGAACACAAACCACAAAUAUGAACAAGUUUUAAUUUAUUAAAAUGUUUUAAAAGAGUGACAUUUUAUAACCAAGGGCGAGAAAAACGCCAGAACAUACAAUAGUCCAAAGGGUAAGCUUCGACGGAGGGUCUCUGAAAAACCUUACUUGAAAAAGCCACUUGGGAAAAAUUCCAGUGAAAGAAAAGAGACCGAGCAAGCCAACAAAGACAACAACAGAACAUUUAAGUAGUUAUAGACUCCGAAAUUAAAAUAUCAACAAGCCAAGGAGGGCCUACAUCAGUCCAAAAAUCAAAGCAUUGUUCAUGAAGACCAUGUCACGCAAUCCGGUGCGCAGCCCCAUUCGCAGGUCUGGAAAUUGCCCACAGGACCAAGUAACGAUCCUGAGUUAGCUGUCGCACCACAACCACAUAGCUGUGCCUGUAGAUUAUCAACCAGUUUAUGCAAGUUCGUAAUGUACAGUUCUAUUGUUGUCCCUACUGCCUCACGACUAGUAUAUGCACUUCCAGAGGUUCAAUUUAGGAAUGACUUGACCUGCAAUUCAACAUUGGCUGCAAUGCGUCGACUUUUGAUUGGCAGUCAUUUUUCAUUGGCUUUUCACAUCUCCAAAUUUGGAAUAUUCAAUUGUAACAAAUAUUAUCCAAAUACACAGUCCUACUAUAUUAUCUUCUUCAGAUGCCCUUAUGUCCGCUACCCGUGACUAUGCCCGUUGUGAAUGUACAUAAAGUAUUAAUAGACAAUAUGAUUAGAGAUACUCCAACAAUACGUCAACAAAAGUCGGAUUAUUGAAAAGUCCAGUAAAUAUAACAGCACAGGACACAAAGUGUUAAGUUGGGGGAGAAUAUGAUCUCUAAAACACUAAUUACUUAGUGUUACGGUCUAAUAAUAUUCUUCUUUAAUUGUAAAUAAGAUAACUUAGGUUCGAACGUGUGAAUUACAAAUUUAACACCAAUUUAUUUUCUACACCCCUUAGUGUAAAAAUAUAUCUUUGUUUUAGAAAAUAUGAUGUGUGAUCUCUAAAGCACUAAUUGGUAAGCACAAGAAAAAAUUGAGGUUAGUCCAUCUCGUGGAGUAAUUGGCCAUUUCUUAUUCUAUGUCCAGAUGGUUCUUUCCUUGAUUACGAUACAAAAUUUCCUUGUACAAAAGUAAUGGUUCCCACGUCCACGAUGAAUAAAACCCAUUAAACAAUUAGGAGCUUGCGUAAACCUUUUGAUCCACCUUCUGCCUCAGCCUAUAAAUACCAAUACAUCUUCCUCACUUCUUCACAACUCAAAAUCUCCCAAUACAUCAUCUUUCUUUCUUAGACUUCCUCUUCGUCGAUUAUUUUCCCACUUCACAAACACAUCUCAGAAUCAUGGGUGUUUUCACAUACGAAUCCGAGUUCUCCUCCGUCAUCCCCCCCCCCACUAGGUUGUACAAUGUUUUUGUUCUUGAUGCUGACAACCUCAUCCCCAAGAUUGCACCACAGGCAGUGAAGAGCACUUGAGAUCCUUGAAGGAGAUGACGGCGUUGGAACCAUUAAGAAGAUCAACUUCGGUGAAGGUAGCACAUACAGAUAUGUGAAGCAUAGAAUUGAUGGAGUUGACAAGGACAACCUUGUGUACAAGUACAGUGUAAUUGAGGGAGAUGCUAUAUCCAAAACAAUUGAGAAAAUCUGCUACGAGACUAAGUUGGUGGCUUCCGGCAAUGGUUGCGUCAUCAAGAGCAUCAACCACUACCACACUAAGGGAGAUGUUAUGAUCAAGGAGGAGCAUGUUAAUGCUGGCAAAGAGAAGGCCUCCCACCUCUUCAAGCUGAUUGAAAACUACCUCUUGGAGCACCAGGAUGCCUACAACUAAACAUUGUCUGUUGCUGCAUUCAUGCGUUAUUCAGUCUCGUGUCAUCUUGCCUUCAAAUAUUGGCGUGGUUUUAAUCCGUUUUAUAUAUAUUUUUCCCUUCCAAAACAAUGUUUGGCUUGUACGUAAUUGAAGGUUUAGAUUGAAGAGUGACUGUUGUAUUUUCUUUCAUUUGUAAUAAACUCAAAAUUAAUGGAUCUGAUUAUUCCUGCAAGUUUUUUUUUAAUGAAAAUUUGUAUUUGCUAAUGUUAUGAUCCACUUUCCUAACUCUUUUAGUUUACUGAACACAUGAGAAGCGACAUUUCAAUUACCAGCAAAUCAUAAUAAUUGAAUAACAUUUGAAUCUCUAUUAGGGGUGGGCAAAUGAGUAGAGGAACCACAGAUCGGGGCGAGUACAGGCCGGGCCGGGCCUUUGUUUUUUACGGGGCGGGCCGGUUCCUAAACCUUAGAAAAACGAGCCCCGGACCGACCCGUUUCUAAUUAUAAUCAACAGUCGAAAUUGAAUGAUAACUUAUCAUGCAAUCUAAACCAUUAAUUUCUAACCUAGGGUUCCAGAAUUAGUUUUAGAUUUUCAGUCUCGCUCUCAAAGUCUCAAAAUCCCACCUCUCCACCAUCCCUCGAACCCCUACUCUGACGACAUUCAAGAGAACGCCCAUCACCGCCGCCGCAACCUACUCAACGGCACCACCACCACCCAUCCAGCCAUCAUCCGACCUUGACGACAUUCGUUACUUCGCCGGCUACCGUAAGUCUACUUCUCCGAAUUUUAUUUUUGUUGAUGCGGAGGAUUUGAUGAAUGCAUGAAUAAUAGGAUUUGAUUAGAGCCUAAAUCUUUAGGUGGGAGUAAUUUGGUGAAUGCAUGAACAUUUGGGUGAAGGAAUUGUGGAUCUGUUUGGAUAAUUUCUAUGUAUGGCUUUUCCCUAGAAUUAAGGCAAGAUCUAUGAUGAUUUCUCAAGUCCGAUGAAACUCUUGUUGUUUCUCAUUCUCUCUAUUUUCGGUUUUAUUUGUCGUCCUCGGAACAUUUGGGUGAAAGACUUGAGAAGCUUCAAAUAAUCAAUGUGUUUUAGCGCUAAGUACCAUUUCUGUGUUUCGUAAGACUGGAGGUCAUUAGAUUGUCCCUCCAUGCGCUCUGAUCACUCUUCGCAAGAGAGGGCUUUCCUCUGCUUCAUUGUGAUGGUUGUAUAUAUGUAAAUUAUGCUUAUUCUAGUUUUCAGAUUUGACUAUGUGUGUGUGUUGUGUGUGUAUGACGCUUGCUGUUUUCUUGUGCACAACACUUGUAUUUUCAGGAUGUCUUUGUGUAUUACAUAUUCAGAUUCUGUUUUGUGGUCCUUAAAUGAGGUUUUGCUUUUCACUUUUCAGUCAAUGAGGAAGUUUCAAUAGUGUUGGCCAUUCUGUUAUAAAUAUAAUAAGUAGGUCGGAUCAGAUUUUAGAACCUCAAUAGGCUAAGCUUAAUUUGUAUAUGAAUAUUGCAGAGGGAGAAGGAAGGAUAAGUUGUGGGUUUGGUAUGCCAUGGUCGAUUUAUAUAGAGGUCCUUCUGUGGUUGGAAUUGAACAGGUGUAUUACUUAAUCAUCCAGUAACUAAUUUUGGAUAAUGGAUGUUGUAAAUUGAAGUUGAAACUUUUCAACUUGCUCCAUUUCCCUUUUUGUUUUGUGGAAAUAGAAUGCAAGUUGCUUUCCUUGUCUGCAAACAAGUAGCUCACCAUUACCUGCCUACUUCAAUACCAUUAUCGAAUAAUUCUAGAUAUUUCUGAGUUUUUUAUUUAUUUGUUUCAUUGAAUUUUGGGUACGAUUGUUGGAAAAUAAGUUUUUGAAGAGAGUGUUGGAAAAUAAUUAAAUUAGGACACUGUUUUUUUUUCGUAAGUUAGGAAGUUGGCUUGUUUUUACGUUAGAGCUUUUUUGAUAUUUUAUGUACAUGUGUUUAAGAGGUUGCAGUCUGUUGCAUACUUGCUCCUUGACUGUAUUUAAGCUUGCCUCAAUUGUAUCACUUUUUUUUUCAUGGUCACGAGUGCUCCUUAACAGCUCGGUACAAAGAUAUCAUAUCCCAAGUUGGACACAUAUCCGCUGGUGAUUCGUCACUUAUAACAGCUCGGUACAAAGUUUCACUACCCCUACCUGUAACAUACUUAUAGCUUGUAGUUGUACUUACACCCGUUGCUAUUUAUGAACUUUUGUUUAAUAAUCUGUGCAAGUGUUGCAAUAUUGCUGCAAUCUGUGGUUUACAGUAUGUGUAAAUUGCAAUAAUCUCCUAUAACCAACAUAAUCUGCAGCAGUGAUCUUCCUUUUAUCAAAAGCCAACUUUAUCCGCAAGAAUUGUUAAGGUUGAACAUGUGCAGUUGUGCACCAGAAGAUGGCUGCAAUAUAUUAUAUAUGUCUAAUAGCUUUACAUUUUUGUAGGAUGAAUAUUGGGCUCCUCAAGAUUUCAAGAGGCUAUUAUCGAACGAUGUUUGAAUUUGUGCCGGUGUAAUGGUUGGAAUGUAAUGUUUGAAACUGAAUUCGUGCUGCUGUAAUUGUUUUUUCCCAAACAAAAAAAAAACAACUGGGAACUGUGGACCCGACCCGUUUCAAACGGGCUCGGUUCAGUUCAAUUCCUGUAAUGAAAUAUGAUGUAUUCGGCCCGACCUGGCCCGUUUCGUUUAAACUCCGGUUCCUUCAAAAUUAGGUCCAGCCCGUGCCCAACCCUAAUCUCUACCACAAAAGCAUAAAGUGAUGACAUGAAAACUCUGAUUUCGUUUUCCUUGUAAACCAUUUGGUUCAUACCAUAAAUACGCCCUUGAGUUAACACACCCAUGAUGAUGAUUUAAGAGCUUGUUUUUCCUCACCCUUAUGUGGCAUGACUCACCUCCAUCUGCGGUUCUUGCUUCUUGCAUUCAAAUUUUCUUAGCUUAUUUGAUUUUCGAUUUUUAAAUUAGUGUACAUCAUGCCAUACAGGAUAGGUCCGCUAUCCUAACGUGUGGUUUUAUUUUUAUAUCUAACAUAUUUCUUUUGGUGUUUCAAAGCUUGUUUUGCAAGUUUAUACCUUUUAGAGGGGGUUAGGCUCUAUGUUACUUCCUUCUUUUUCUUGUAUUUCUCGUUUUGCUUUCAAGAAGGGUCAAGUUUAUGUCCCUCUUUUCGUUUUGCUACUUUUCAGCUUAAAAUGAACCAUGACUUUGUAAAUAAACAGACUUACCAAACACAAAUUUGACUCAAAAUUUUUUUAUCUGUGCUUUUAUAAUAAUUUGAGCAGUACCAAACCUCGCCUUAAUUGUUUUUUUUUUCAUGAAUUUAGCGUUUUUUUUAACAAACGAUAUUAUCUACACUAAAGGGGUGAGAGAUCGGGCUAAGCCUCACAAUGGGCUAGCAAUAAUGCGGUUCAAAUUCGUCAUUGACGAGAGUCAAACCUAAGACCUCCCACUUAGAAGUGAAGAGGAAUACCACUGGACCGUAACACUAAGUGACAUUUAUUGUAUUUUUAGUUUGCCUAGAUUACUCUUUGGUACAAUUAUUUUUGGGGUUCAAACAUAAAAGAAAUUGAAAAGCAUUAGGUUUUGCAUAUCAUAACUAAUGUCUGAGACCUAACAAAUCAAUAAUGCAAAAAUUAUCGGACAUAAUGAACUAAAACAUGAAAAUAACAUACCGCACCAAAUUUACCAAACCUAAUGAACUAAAACAUGAAAAAUACAAACUAUACCAAAUUAAUCGUACCAAAUCUACCAAACCUAAUGAACUAAAACAUAUAACAUAUGAACCCGUACCAAAUUGAUCGUACCGAAUUUACCAGACCUAAUGAACUAAACAUAAAACAUAUGAAUCGUACCAAAUUGAUUGUACCGAAUUUAUGGGACUUCAACUAUAUAAUGUACCUAAUUGAAAUCACAACAUAAUAGACCUUACUGAAACUUCGGACCUAAACUAGUAUGUACCUAAUUGUUAUUUACAACACAUAACCAAACGUACCUAAUCAACCAACAGAACCAAACAAUGAAAUUCCCCACAUAGGCCUUUCAGUAAACACAUGUAUGCAUUGGUAAGUAAUCAUGUCUAUGCUGUGCACUCCACACAAUAUCAUUAUGAAAGCUUUCAAAAGUAUGGCAAUGAAACUGGUUAUAAAAUAUUUCAAAUUUGAAUAAUUAUAAUAAAAAAAAAGGUACGUUAUAGACAAAAAAGAUGAUGUUCUUGUAGAAAAUGAAGAUGGAUAUUACGUUUAUGGGUGAUAGUGAAUCUACCGUUACAUUUGUGAACACGAAAAAUUCCUGAAACGAAAGAAACAAGAACACAAAAUAAUAUUUGUAUUUGAUGAUUUUGGGUUACAAUCUCUCUCUAAUUUGAUCCUCUGAUUCGAUCUCUGUAAGGUGUUGAUUUGUGGAUGUGCGAUUGAUCCAAAGGGCCGUUGGGCUUAAUCUAAGGAUGAACGUUCAUCAAGGGCCGUGGGCUUGAUCUUGAAGGUGGAUUUGAGCGGAUCUUCAAGGAGCCGUUGGGGCUUGAUCUUAAGGAUGAGCGUUUCUUCAAGGGCCGUUGAGGCUUGAUCUUGAAUAACAGUAGUGAACGGAUCUUCAAGGGCUUUUGAGCUUGAUCUUGAAGAACAAUGAUUGACGGAUCUUCAAGGGCUUUUGGGCUUGAUCUUGAAUAACGGUGAUGAACGGACCUUCAAGGGCUUUUGGGCUUUGAUCUUGAAGGACGAUUGGAUGUGUGGAUUUGUUGACGUUUGUUGAUCCAAAGAGGCCGUUGAGGCUUGAUCUUAGGAUGAACGGAUGAUGAACGAUGAACAUUUUCUUCAAGGGCCGUCGGGGCUUGAUCUUGAAUUGGUGGAAGUUCUUCAAGGGCCUUUGGGGCUUGAUCUUGAAUUGGUGGAAGUUCUUCAAAGGGCCGUCAGGGCUUGAUUUUGAAGGUGGAUGAUUGUUGAUCCAAGGGCCGUCGGGGCUUAAUCUUGGAAGAACGAAGAGGGCUUUCUUGAUUCUUCGGGAACCUGGAUGCUUGAGAGCUUCGGAGUUUCAGAGCUUCAGAGCUUUAGAGCUUUAAGGUUUUGGUGUAAUAUGAAUUGGUUAUGAAUUCCCCUCCCAAAUGAAUGCAUUGGCUUCCUAUUUAUAGAAUUUUCCAAGGCCUAAUUUUGAAUAUAAUAUGCAGAUGAAAUAAAUCGCUUCUGCCAGGUGUUGACAUGUGUCCUAUUUGAUGACUUUUUUGAUUUAUUUUGAUUUUUCGUUUAGUCACACGCUACGUGUAAAAUUUAUGUGACACGUGAGCGUUGAAAUUGUAACUAUUGGUCAACAUUUAUUUCACCGAAAUUUCGAUGUCUACAAAUGCCCCCACUUCAAGGCGCGUCGUAUACAUGUGUUUAUCACGUGUAGGAGAUACGUUUUGAAGUCCCUUAGUGUAGAUGUUGAUCCAAGGGCUGUUGAGGCUUGAUCUUGAAUUAGAAGAUUUCUUCAAGGGCCAUUGAGGCUUAAUUUUGAAUUGGGCUUGAGAUUUCUUCAAGGGCCGUUGAGGUUUGAUCUUGAAUUGGGCUUGAGAUUUCUUCAAGGGCUGUUGAGGCUUGAUCUUGAAUUUUGUUUGAAAUUUCUUCAAGGGUCGUUGAGGCUUGAUCUUGAAGGUUGAAAUUGGACCACAAGGAGCUUCAUGUGGUAGAUGAUCUUUGGCUUUGGUAGUGGAUGAAUUGGCAGGUAUUUGUUUUUGCGCUUGUUGACUUUCCACAGCUUAUUCUUGAACUGGAUUUGAUUCAAGGGUGGUGGACGCUUGAUCUUGAAUCAGACUUGUGAUUUCCUCAAGGACCGUCGAGGCUUGAUCUUGAAUUUGGCUGGAAGCUUCUUUAAGGGCCAUUGAGGCUUGAUUCUUGAAGGUUGACUCGAACACAUGGCAAGCAGGCACGAGGUGAAGGUGAUGACUUGUUGCUUUGUUCAAUCUUUCUAAUUUACACCUGAGCAGUUUGGUCAACGGUAUGAUCUUCAAUAUUGAUGGGCUCUUCUUCCAGUUGGUGACUUGAUCUUUAAGGAUUUGAUUCAAGGAUGGUGAAUUGGCACGUGCUUUGUUGUGCUUGUCUCCACAUGCUUCAAUGUAUCAUUUUCACUUCCCUUAUCUGUUCCCCAGGCAGAUGUGGUAGACGAAGAGGAAGCAUAAGAUGUUGAAGAUGAGUAUUCGAGAGCACGGCUAGGUAAGCAAUCAGGAAGGGGUUCCAGGCGGAUAUGGCAGCUUCUUGAGUUCCUCAACUCAGACUCUUUCUGCUGAGUUGACUGUGCGGGCUGCAUUCUUCUCUGCUUGUUUCUUCUGCACGUUGUUACCACAUGCUGCAAGGUAUCAUUUUCACUUGCCUUAUCUGUUAUCCAGGCAAAUGUGGCAUCUUCUUUGGAAGUACAUCAGCAGCUGAAGACGAGUACUCGAGAGCAAUACCAGGUAAGCAACCAGGCAAAGGUUCCAGGUAGUCGAUUCCUUACCCGAGUUUGAGUGGAGGUUCUGGCAUAUUGCUUUCUUUAUCCUUGUCUUUGCAGGUAAGAACAAAGACAAAGGAAAUGACAGGGGGAAAGCAUGAUAUGAGAUACUCUUGCUUUCUACCCUGGUGAUAUGAGAUACUUUUGCUUUGGUAUCAUUUGUUUGCAGAGGUAUUCUAGGAGAGGAAGAAAACUGGGUAUUUCGAGAGGCUCUGCUGGGAGUGUACUCUCGGAAAUGAGGAAUGGUUGGGCAUUUUUGCAGGUCUGCCUUGCUAUGGACGGUGAAUGUCGACAUAUAUAGGAAUUUCCCAACAGCCAGUAGUGGCACUAUUCCUUUACUCUUGUCGGCAACCGUUGGGUAAUUGAAACAGUCAGAUUCACGCGUUUUCAACUUUGUCAGAAAUCUUUGACAAAGUUGCGCAUGAUUUCCGCAAAGUUGAGGUUGCAUGUGAAGGAUGGCGACAAAUCCUGAAAAGCCGGUCUUUUUUUUGAAAUUUGGAGAGUGGUGACUUUUCGAUCUUUGAAUCGGUGGCCUUGUUGCCUCUUCGAUCUCUGAACAAACGGCCCAGCUUUUGAAAUUCGGGGAUAAGGGCCUCUUUGGUUUCUGAACGACCACAUUGCCUCUUCGAUUUUUGAACAGGCCAUGUUGCCUCUUCUUUUUAUAGAGGCAUGAAUCGUGUUCAAAAACACAUUUAGAGAGUUGCUACCUGUUAGGAAUUUCCCUCAUUUUGUAUUUUCUAAGAAUUCGACUUACACGACCUCUUCUUCUUUCAUCAUUUUUGCAAAUGGCUUGCCCUUCUGAUCGUCGUCUUGAUUUGAAUGUUGGGGAAAAUGUUGAUAUAUCUUCUCUAGACAACAUAUGGUGCCCGUCCUUCUUAUCUGCCACCGGUCCUCUUACAGUUGGGGACUCUAUGAUGAAGAAUGACAUAACCGCUACGGUGGUAGCUAGAAAUCUUCUCACCCCUAAGGACAAUAGGAUCCUUUCCAAGCGGUUUGAUGAGCUGGCUGUUCAGGACUCUCUGGCUUUCAAUGUUCAGUGUGCGGGCUCUGUAUCAAAUAUGGACCAACGCCUUCUUGCUCGAACUCGUCAAGUCGAGUCACUGAUGGCUGAGUGGCGAGUCUUAAGUAAGAGAUUAGAGGGAUUAAGCAUGAAAACAGAGAGAUGCACAUGCUUGCCAAUAGCUACUCAACGAGCAUGAAAAGAAAGCUCGACCAGCUAUAGGAAUCUGAAGGUCGGAUUCAAAGUGACCAUCGGACGUUUGUGACUUUACUCCAAAGGCAUCUACUGUCUUCGUCCUCUAGAGCUAUACCAAGUGUUAAGGCUGCAAAUAAUCAACUUCUGGUGCCUCCUCCUUCUGGAGCUCCGACGAGUACUGAGGCGCCAUCUGAUCAACCUUUAUGAAGGCUUCCUCCUAUUUGCUUUUUUUUUUUUCAUGUAAAAUGUACAUUUAUGUAAAUUUUGAGAGAAAUCAAUAAAUGAGGCUUCUUUCAUUCAAUGUAUAUAUAUAUUUUUUGGUCGGUGCGCUUGGCAUCAUCAUUAUUUUUCUUCUUUUUGCCAAUUUGCAUGUCUCCUUUUUUUGCUUUCUGCACGCCAUCAUCCCUAAACAAAUGAUGGCUGUCAUUUUCCUUCUUUUUAUUAUUUAUUUAUUUCUUUUGGAUGGUGCCUGAUGCACCAAAAGCUUUAUAACUUUUUUUUUUAUUCUUUUUUUUUUUUUUUUUUUUUGCAUGGUGCUGUCCAUCAAGGUUCCACCAUUUUUUUUUCUUCUUUCCAGAUUGGUUUGUCUCCUUUCUUUUUUAUUCUCUUAUAUAUAUAUAUAUAUUCCCCACAUGGUGCAGGCAAUGGGCAGAAGAUGGAGCAGAGGGAGUAUGCAGAGCACGACACGGACGGAUGCACAAGCAGCAACUGCCGAUGAUCCUAUUGCUCAGGGAAGGUCAUGAGUAUGGUGAUGAAGUUGGAGGCUAGAGAAUGAAGAGCAAGCUGUCCCAAGAUCACCCGGAGAUCACUAGAGCUCCGAUGAGAUCUGAUCUGGGGUCGAGGGAGAUCAUCUUAUUGCUGCCGUUAGCAUUGAUCAACGGUUGGUGCUGCAUCGACAUGUUGCUGCCAUCGGCUGAGCAGGGAAGAAGUAGAGUACCUCUCAAGCUUUCUUCAUGGGUCUCGGUGAAUAAUCUGGCAGAGAGAACUGUGUAUUGCAGUCACGGGAGAAUGAUGCAGAGGAGAACGAGGACGAGUCUGAUGAUGCAGCAGAAGCCAUGGAGUAGGAGUGUUCUGUAUUUGGAGGAGUUGAUAGAGGCAAGGAUUCUCAACAGCCUACAUGAAGCAAAAGCUUUGCCUUCGCUCCGGAAUCGCAACCUUGGAGUACCAUCCUUCAUAUAAUUUAUGGCUCGUUCCAUCGAAAUGGUACCCGCUAUGAAGAGUUCAAAUGUCUCGUUUCCGAGGGGUGAGGACGUAGACGGAGCUCGCGGUCGCUUUGUCCUGUUGAGUUGUGGAGCGGUUGUGGCGACGUUGUCGCUGUUACGAUGGCUACCCUUUGCUUGCUGCUGUGGAGAAAGUCUGAGCGUUGCAUGCUGCAAGGGAUGAGUCUUGGUGUUAGAGCUUGACGUGCUGGAGCUUGACGUCCCAGAUAAGCGUGGUUGAUUCGAGCAUCAAGCCCAACUCGACGAUCAAUGACGGGGAGCUAAAAACGAAGAUGAAGCAGCAGCUUGUUCCUCCAUUUGACCAUGAGGGUGACGUGUGAACGGGCUGAAGCAUGAGACCUCUAAUGCUAGGCCCACUUCGACCGAGUCAUCCAUCCUUCCCUUUGGUACGGUGAAGGUGGAGAUGCUGGCGUUAGGUAGAAGGAGAGAUAGAUAGAGCUUGGGUCGCAGGGAGAAAAUUUGAAGCUCUGAGGUAUUGAAGAUGAUGACAGGGCCUGUGGCUUGAGGUGUAUGCGAACCAAGAGAGAAUUGGACUUGGGCUUUUGGGAGUUUGUAAGCUGAAGAGGAAGUGAGCUGUUGGGGAUGAAAAUGGUACUGUGCUCCAGAUGUGGGGUCCAAGAGAGGAAUGAGAGGUCUUGACAACUCGACGUGCACUCUAUGGCCCAUUUCAGUGCCUCAGCUGCUAUGGUUCGAAUGGGCUUCAUGCUGGGCCUGAUUCUCGGGUUAGGCGUUGAAGAAGAUUUUAAAUAAGGAUGGGAAAGGAGCAGAAGCAAGAUUGAUUCUUUUGGACCUCACAGAGACAGCAUCGUAGAGGCUAUGCCUUCUUCACGUGAAGCUCAAGCAGCAAUGCAAAUGAUAGCAACUGCUACAUAUAUAUAUAUAUAUAUAUAUAUAUAUAUAUAUAUAUAUAUUUUAAGAAACUGUAUUUUUUUUACAAAGAAAUUGUAAUAAAAUUGACUUUCAUCAAUCAAACCUUUAAUCAAACAUUUUUUUUUUAUUUUGAUGUGAUUGAACUCGAAAUUGAAUGCUCGAGCUACCUACGUCCCUUCCAAAAAAAGAGAUCAAGUCAAAACGUAGUUCAAAUGCUUUUUUUUUUUGGUGCCGUACGCAGUUUAUGCUCUUGCCGGCCAAGAGCGUUUGGUGCCAUUUGCAGUUUCCGCUCAUGCCGGCAAGGAGCUUUUGGUGUUGCCUUUUAUGCUCUUACAGACCAGGAGCUUAGUGCCAUGCAGUUUAGGCUCGUACGAGCGAUGAGCCUUGUUAGUUCGUUAAGCAAUCCGGGAGAGUCGUUCCUCGCAAUCUUCAUAGCAAUGAGCCUUGACUGAGUAGUUGAAGAAGUCUUCUGGGAAGAUGUCAUGCAUCGUGAUGGGGAUGGAUGAUCUUCAUGUCAAAGUUUCAUUAUCUCCAACACUUUCACAUUGUUCUGAAGUUUGACAAGAGCUGUUUUGCCCUCUUUCCCAUUGGUGAACUUGUGGAAGAGAUGGUUGCUUCCUGGAGAGGCGUUCAUCGCAAUCUUUAUAGCAAGGAGCCUUGACCGAGUAGCUGAAUAAUUUUCUGAGGAAAAAGUGAUCGCGCAUGGUCAAUCUUUGUGUCGAAAUUUCCUCAUCUUCAACACUUUCACAUCGCUUUGAAGAUUGGCAAAAGCUGCUUUGCCCCCUUUUCGAUUGGUGCACUUAUGGAGAAGACAUAUGCUUCGUGUGCAGUUUCUUCGGAAUGACAUGAGUCUAUCCUUCAACUUCACUCGGUUUGACUGGCAUGGUUUUGGAGCAUGCUCCCAGCGAUUGAGAUGAAGAUUUUAAGUUGACAGAGCCAGAAGUGACGUCUUCUUCCAGGAUUUCGUCUUCUUUGUCUUCUUGGGCCUCCUAUGUAGUGAUGUCAUUUUGGGUUUGUUAGUAUGAAGAUUGGCCGGUGUAGAUAAUGGUGCGCCUCCUUACCUUCAGUGGUUCUUUUAUGUCGACUUCCAAAGUUGCUUGGCGCUUCAUCCUUGAAGGAAUCAAGCUUUGAACAUCGUCUUUUCCUGCUAGGUUGUCGAGCUUUUCUCCCUUUGGCGUUGUCUUUCUGUUUCUAGAAGGCUUCUUAGUUUCUUCAAGUCUGUCCAAAGCCGACCGUUGCGGAGGAGAUCUAGCUGUGCCGCUUUGUUUUUUGGGUUUUGAUAACUUUUCAAAGACAGAUCUUUACGGUGUUGGCGUCUUAAGCCUUUUGAAGACGGAAGUUCGGCCUCGACCACUGAUGCGAUCAAGUGCCGAAAUUCUAGGUUUUGAAUGAUUCAGCCUUUCGAAGACUGAAGUUCGAAUGGCAGGUUUAGGCUCCACUUUUGGCCUUGUGGCUUGUGGUCUUGGCUUCCUUAUUUUUCUGUAGGUCGUCGAUGUCCACCCUUUCUUAUCACCAGUAGAUGCAUCUUGGUUGCUUACCCCUAGUGAUGGUUGUGUAGGAGGUGCCGUGUGACUUGAACAUUAACGGGAAUGGUCAUGCAUGCUUCGGAGAUGCACAGGAUCGAGUGAUCCAAACACGAUAGUAGUAGUGUGUGCCGCAACCGUGUCUUCGAGGUCAAGCUCGAUUUUCCCUUGUUGUGCUAGCUUCAGGAUGAGAUCUUUCAGUACAAAACACUUUUCCGUUGGAUGACUGAUGAAACGAUGGAAUUUACAGUACCUUGGACUAUCGGUAUGAUUCAUCUCUUCUGGCCGUCUACACUCAAGCAAACUGAUCACCUUCUUUUCCAACAAGUCUUCUAACAUGGCAGCCACAUCAGAGUCGGGGAAUGGAUAAGUUUUCUCUUCAAGCUCCUUCAAAGUGCGUCUACGCAUCUCUUGAUCACGAAAAGCUUCGGUUUGAAUCGCCUUGCCUCAUGUAGAGACUUUGAUGGGAGUUGUGUUGACCGUCAUGGCAUCUUCAGGGCAUUAAUCUUAUUGAAGUAGGGCUUCGAGUAGAACAAUGAUGUAUGUGAGCUCCCUUUGUACUGUGCUUUGAUGGUGUUGGUGAUCAUCUCUUGCAGCUGCUGGAUAGAAAGAGAUCCCAUGAGUGCCGCUGCUUGGUCUGGCUCCGGCUUCACAUCGAUCUCCUCCACCGGAGGCUCCUCUUCUUCGCCAGCUCCUCUCUUUAGUGGAUCAUCCUCUGGGUCGAGGUUCUCGCUGUUCUGUGGCUCCAGUCGGUUGACGAGUGCAGCGAUUUGCAAGUCUUUUUCUUCCACAAUCCGUGUUAGCCUUGCGAUCGCUUCAUUCAUUUGAGCCAGUUGUUCUUCAAUUGAGGUAACGCUGAUGGUCAUGACUUAUACAACCAAUAGACAUGACUUUCCUUUAAACAUCCAGAAUGCUAACGAAGAGCGUCGUUGGCUACUUUGGGAUGUCAUCUUGUGUGCCUCAGCAGCAUGCUUCCAUGCCCCUAGCGAGGUCAGGUUGAUGACAAACUCGCGCCUUUGAUGCUCCCCUUGCUCCUUUAGCAGCACCAACUUUGAAGUGGCAUGUUAAGGAGCGGUUGUGGCGCCAAUGGAUUGUCCGUUCGCGGCAGAAGUGCUCAAGAUCCUUCCCUUAGUGGUUGCGAGAACAGCUUGUCCCUUACUUGAUGCCAUUGACUUUGAGGCGUGUUUGGAUUCCUUGAACGAAGAAAGAGAUAAGAGGUAGAUAUGGUCCCACUGGGCGUGCCAAAUUUGUGAACACGAAAAAUUCCUGAAACGAAAGAAACAAGAACACGUGCACAAAAUAAUAUUUGUAUUUGAUGAUUUUGGGUUACAAUCUCUCUCUAAUUUGAUCCUCUGAUUCGAUCUCCGUAAGGUGUUCAUUUGUGGAUGUGCGAUUGAUCCAAAUGGCCGUUGGGCUUGAUCUAAGGAUGAACGUUCUUCAAUGGCCGUUGGCUUGAUCUUGAAGGUGGAUUUGUGCGGAUCUUCAAGGAGCCAUUGGGGCUUGAUCUUAAGGAUGAGCGUUUCUUCAAGGGCCGUUGAGGCUUGAUCUUGAAUAACGGUGAUGAACGGAUCUUCAAGGGCUUUUGGGCUUGAUCUUGAAGAACAAUGAUUGACGGAUCUUCAAGGGCUUUUGGGCUUGAUCUUGAAUAACGGUGAUGAACGGACCUUCAAAGGCUUUUGGGCUUUGAUCUUGAAGGACGGUUGGAUGUGUGGAUUUGUCGACGUUUGUUGAUCCAAAGGGGCCGUUGGGGCUUGAUCUUAGGAUGAACGGAUGAUGAACGAUGAACACUUUCUUCAAGGGCCGUCGGGGCUUGAUCUUGAAUUGGUGGAAGUUCUUCAAGGGCCUUUGGGGCUUGAUCUUGAAUUGGUGGAAGUUCUUCAAAGGGCCGUCGGGGCUUAAUUUUGAAGGUAGAUGAUUGUUGAUCCAAGGGCCGUCAGGGCUUGAUCUUGGAAGAACGAAUAGGGCUUUCUUGAUUCUUCGAGAACCUGGAUGCUUGAGAGCUUCGGAGUUUCAGAGCUUCAGAGCUUCAGAGCUUCAGAGCUUCAAGGUUUUGGUGUAAUAUGAAUUGGUUAUGAAUUCCCCUCCCAAAUGAAUGCAUUGGCUUCCUAUUUAUAGAAUUUUCCAAGGCCUAAUUUUGAAUAUAAUAUGCAGAUGAAAUAAAUCAUUUCUGCCAGGUGUUGACAUGUGUCCUAUUUGAUGACUUUUUUGAUUUAUUUUGAUUUUUUAUUUAGUCACACGCUACGUGUAAAAUUUAUGUGACACGUGAGCGUUGAAAUUGUAACUAUUGGUCAACAUUUAUUUCACCGAAAUUUCGAUGUCUACAACAUUUUUAAAAACUUUGAUGGUGGAGGUUACAUUGCAAACAAUGAAUAUGGCAUUCUUAGCAGUAAAAUCUGUGGUUUUGUUAUAAGUAACAUGUUAUGUUGCAUUAAAAUAAAACCCAUAUUUUCCAUCCAUAGUGUAAAUAUUAGUAAUAUCAUCUCAUUAAAGCCUUUAUCUCUAAAAGCCUUAUUUUACAUAUUGUAUAUUGCAUAUACUGUUCAAUAUAUAUAUAUAUAGCAUGUUCAUGCACACACAAUUGAUAUGUCCAAAUUUCGAAUAUGCAAGUUAUGUUAUAAUAUGCUACAUUGUUAUGUUGAAUUGUGUGAGUCAAAGGAAAACAAACAAAAAAAAUAGAAACACGAACUAGGGUUUUAAAACCCUAAAUCGAAGAAAAUAAUGAGAAAAUUGUGGGAAGGGUUCCUCAACUUUAAUUCAAUUGGAGUAAUGGUUCUUCAACUAAAAUCCAUAACCAUUGGUCCCUUAACUCAUCAAAAAAUACAGCUAUGAUCAUUUUCAUCAACUCCAUCAAAAUUCCGUUAAAAUGAGUUAUAAGGACUAUGCUAUAAUUAGAUUGAAGUUGAGGGAUCACUGUUCCAAUUAGGUUAAAGUAUGUAUCAUUUCUCCAAUUAAGUUGAAGUUAAGGGACUAUUGCUACAAUUUUUCUCAUUUGGUUUUACAUAUUUGUCUCUUGAUUCAGCCUUACAUGCAUAUCACUUGACUCAUUUUUCACAGAACUUCUAACGAAGAUGAAAAUGACCAUAGUUGUAUGUUUUGAUAAGUUAAGGGACUAGUGGUCAUGAAUUUUUAGUUGAUGAAUCACUACUGCAAUUAUAUUAAAGAUGAAAGACUAUUGUUAUAAUUUCCUCAAAAAACAUUAAAAAAAAGAGAAAAUCGCAGCUGAGCCGUGGCUUGAAUAUGCACCAUCCGUGCCACAACGUCGAGCCGAGCCUGCACUCUAGCCUAUGCUCCAAAACGGCACCCUGCAGCCCCAUGGGCUUGCUAAACUCACUGAACCUAAAUCCAGUUUUUUUGGGCUUCUUCUCCCUGCCAGGCCUGCUGCUGACACCUCGCUCGGGUCAACCCAGCUAUGCUGGGCUUCAGCUCCUGCUGGGCUGCCUUCUUCUCGGCUCAAGGCCCGCGCAGGGCCCCCUUUUUUAACUGCAAAGCCAGCAGCAUGGGUGUUCCAUUUCUCCGGCCAGGCCAAAUUUUUGGCCUGUUCUGCUUCCAGCCUGGAACCGACUAAGUUGGGGUGCCCACGGCUAAGCUCAUUUUUGAGCUCUAUUUCUCACUAAUUUGGCCCGCAAUCAUUCAAACCCAAUAUAACCCGAACAUCUAUGAAUUUGAUAUGAUAUUCAAUCAUAAACUAAGUAAAAAGAAUUUGAUAUGAUAUUCAAUCAUAAACUAAGUAAACUUAUCAUAAACUAAGUAUAAAAGUAAUCGAAUGCUGUUUCAUUUAUUAAGAUUAAAAUCAAAUACAAUAUUACACUUGAAUCAUAACUCCAAAUUGCGAAUAAAAAUUGCUUCUAUAUGAGCAAAAGAAAAAAUCAAAAGCCACACCACUGAAUAAAUAGAAAAAAAAGGAGAGGACACAACAUUUGUUUCCCCACUGCUUAGCAUGCAGAAUCAUAUAUAGAUCGAUGGUUUUAGUUAUAGGCAUCAGGGUUGGCCACAAGGUAGUUCUCAAUGAGCUUGAACAAACCAUGGGCCCUUUCUUUCCCAGCCUUAACAUGCUCUUCUUUGAUCUCAACAUCUCCCUUAGUGUGGUAAUGGCUGGUGCUCUUGAUGACAGAACCGCUGCCGGAAGCCACCAACUUAGUCUCAUAAGAGAUCUUCUCAAUCUUGUCAGAAAUGACAUCUCCUUCAAUCAAACUGUACUUGUAGACAAAGUUAUCUUUGUCAAUUCCAUCAACCUUGUGCUUCACAUAGCUGUAUUCACUUCCUUCACCAAAGCUAAUCUUCUUGAUGGUUCCAACACCUCCAUCUCCCUCAAGAAUUUCAGCAGUUUUAACUGCUUGUGGAGCAAUCUUUGGGAUGAGGUUGUCAGCAUCAAGAACAAGAGCAUUGUACAACCUAGCAGGAGUGCAGACUGAGGCGAAUUCAGUUUCAUAUGUGAAGACACCCAUGGUGAUGAUUGAGAGCUUAGAAAAUAAUCAAAAUAAGAAUGAAAUGUGAAGGAAGAAAAGAGAAAUUGAUAAGGAAGGUAUUUGAUGGUGGAAGAUAUGGAGGUGGUAUUUAUAGGUUAUUGGUGAGGGGCUGUUGUGUAAUAUGGACCCCUAUGGAUAGAGAAAUUUGGACAGUAUUUAGUUUCCCAUUGGUGGUUGUUUCCAAUGUGAACAUUUUAGUCAAAGAUAGGCACCUCUAGAAGGUUAUUUUGUAUAUUCCAACUUAAUAUUACAGCAGAGCUGGUGUGCUAGGUCUGCUGUCUACUAAUUCAAUAAUAUCUUUAUGGACUCGAAUAAAUCUAAGUUGCCUUUUUUAUUCAUUACUUAUCUGAACUCUUUGAUCAGCAUAAGGACUCCUAUGAAACUACAAUGUUACUCGUUCCCUAGCGUUUUAAUGCGAAUAUCGUCACAUUAAUGUAUUUAAGCUUUGACAUAAUAUUUGAGCGGUUUGUUUGAAUGAGCCUAAAUAGUGAUAAGCAACCAGUCGAGUUAAUUUUUGUACGUUAUUUAAUCGACUCUAUGCCACGAAUUUAGUUCCAUUGUACACAUGCAUGCUUGUUUGUUCUUAUUUGUCACAUCAAAUGAUACCUUAAUGUAGUCAAAUAUGUGCUCUCUCUAGUAUUUUCCAUCUACUAAAGGUAAUGAUCUCACUUUUAACUCUACAGGUAUAUAUGGACUUCAUAUAGCAGUAAAAAGUAACAGUACUCUUUCAAUGCAUUAGAAAUUAUAUGACUUUUGACUGAAUUUUCUGAUGCAUAGGAGAUAGCUUAAAUCUAAAGGAGGAGGAAAAAAAGACAUCAUAUCUUUUCCCCGGCGAAUCCAACCCGACUCAUUUCUUCUCCCAAAUCCUAACCUCAUUCUUCUCCAACAAGCCCACCCCCAAAGUCUCUUUUCUCUCGCGACGCCACCUAAAAUCGUUCUCUUCGACAACGGCGUCGGUUCGAAGAUGAACAAUCAUGGAAGAGGAAAGAAUGACAGAGCUAUGAGAGAAAUGGAGUCAGAUGUUUGGUUAUAGAAAUAGUGUGUAUAUCAGAUUAUUUUAAAUUGACACAUGUUUGUAUCUUGUUGGGCCACUUAAGAGAGCGAGUAAAUUGGACACUCCCCGGUUAGUAUCCAAAUAUUAUACUAUUAGUAAUUAGUUUUAUAGCAAAACUUUAAGUUCUUUCACUAUUUACAUUUUGAAAAGAUUUACAUGUAGUUUUACUCUGAAGAAUAGAUGCAAAUUUAAAUUUGGGCUCACCAUCACUUGAUUAUCCCUUUUCAAGAUAUAAUAAAGAAAGGGUUUUUAUGGCAAAUUAUUUUUGAAAUUGAAAAUCAAUUAAUAUAGUUCAUGAAAAUAGGUAUUGCAAAUCAAUGUGGUAUUUCUAUCAUAAUUCUAUUAAAAAUUCUGUUAAGUGUUGAUGUAGUACAUAAAUGGGUCCCAUAAGUCUUUUUUUCUUCUCAUAAAUGGUCCUUGAAAUUGACCCGCGACAUCAAAAUGGUCCCUAAAAUUGACCUGCAACCUCAAAAAGGUCUCUGAAAUUGAAAAUCGAUCAAUGUAGUCCCUUAAGUGUCCCAAAUGACACACCCCGUCCCGAAGGAGGGCGUGCUGGCCGUCACGUGAGAGUGACGUAACCAUUUACACAGUUCGGAAGCUUUAAAAAAAAUUCCAAUUACUAAGAUAACACACCCGAGGGUGAGUCCUACUUUUGUGAAUUCUGUCAGAACACCGUUGGAUUCCUCGUGGCCACCAAAGCUCUGCUAACUUGAACCUGGAGGGGCGCAAAACAAAAUUGAGUGGGUCAGUAAAACAAAGUUUUUCGAAGACUUUUCAUUUAAAACAUUUAUAACCCCUCACCGUAAAACCUGUAUACUUUCCCAGAAAAUAGCAUAUAUAUAACAUAUAUAUAAGCAAAAAGCUCAAAUCUCAAACCUUUAACACUUUUCAGAAAUAUAUAUAUAUAUAUAUAUAUAGAUAUAUAACCAUAUGAAAUCUCAAAGCUUGAAUCCCAAAUCUUUAACAUUUUUCAAGAAAAACAUGUCAUGCCAUAAAUCAAAAUAUAAAUCAGGUGAAAUAAGGAAUCAAUCGGAGACCCUGCAGUUGGUCCUAUACGAUUAAUUCAAUAGCUCAAUAUCUCACUAAGCCGGAGUCACCACAGUGACCUAUACGGCCCUACUCUGCACAUCACUCGGAACUACGUAAGGUAGUCUAUACGAUGAAAGGUGUAAAAUACGCUCUAGUGCUUCUCUCAUCAUAUCAUCAGCGCGCAUAUCUAAGGUCACCCACCAGUCGGAACCCCUCUAAUGGUCUGUACGACUGGCAUGUCGGAACCCUCACAUGGUCUGUACGACAUCCACCUACUUGGAUCCAAGGCGAGCGUGCGGUGUGGUGAAUAAUAUAAGCACUAACACCUAGGGUGCAGAUUAUGAGCUCAAACAUCUCAACAACAACAAUUCAAUGAAUAAACGAACUCACCUGACUUGCCUGUGCCUCCACAGCACCAUGCAACAUGUAUGCAUCAUAUAUCAAUCAUAUAACUCAUAUGAAAUUCACAUUUUCCAAAUAAUUCUAUGCAUGGCAUUUUCAAAACAUAAUUUCGCAUAAAAGCAUUUUUUCUGGGAAAAAACAAUAGUAUAUAGGUAAUACGAAAACAAAACUGCCCACUCACCUGGAGUUCGCCCACAACUCCCUAGCACCGUACAUCAAGGCGUCAUGACGAUUAGCGCCUAGAACAACAAUCAAAUCCAACCUCAGAAAUUCUGCCGAUAGAAUACAUAACUAUAUAAGACACGUCACUACGUAGUUCGAUCCGGAUGAUCUGCAAUUCAGAUUUCAAAUCCGUAACUUCCAGAGGUCCACAAUAUACCUCUAGGACAACAUCCUAAAAUUUCAUUACCAUCCAACGGUCGGAUCUUCGUCAAUUUCCAAAACUAAGUGACGGUUAACAUUCUAUUUUAUGAACUUACAACUUCAAUUCCAGAAGAUCCGUAAAUCGGAUUCCCAAUCCGUAAGUUCCUAUAAUCCUCAAAUAUUACGUAUUACAACGUAUCAAAGUUUGAUGAUGAUCCAACGGUCGGAUCGUCAAUUCACAUUUUCAUCUAACCACGAAUCGUAACCAACUUAGGUUCAAUUAUUCAAUUUACGUCCAUCAAUUAUCAAAACAGAACCUAGAACCUUAAUCACAAGCUAAUAAUGACAUUGGCGGGCCAUUGGCCACGCGCCGCCGCGGGUGGCGGUUGGCCGCCCCCGGCUCGCCGGAAAAUUCAACUAUUUCAAAAAAUUACCAAAAUUUGCAGAUUUGAAGAUCUCAAUGAGUAGAACAACUUUCAUACCUGAGACCAAGGCCAAUUUGGCCUGGAAGUGCUUCAAUUUCACCAAAACCGUGAAGAACCCUAGAAUUUGGGUGUUUCCAAUUCGACCUUCAAACUUGUUCCAACGCCUCAAUUACCUCUUGGGCUUUGUUCUAGGUCCUAAAGGAAUGCUAAAGGUGUUAGUAAUUGAAAGAAAACAUUUCAAAAUUUGGAGAAUUUAAACAAAAGGGUCGCGGCACCCGUAGGGGGUGUUCUUCGCGAAAUCACAACGAAAUUCAAUGAUUCUUGGGGUGAAACGUAAAGAGGGAAGGCCUAGAUGAUGAUUAGGAGUGGUACCUUGACUCAAUUCGUCGGAAAUUUGGACGAAAUCCAUCGAAUUUGGGCGUGGGCACCGCCGGGUCGAAAACGACCCACGGGUUCUCCCCAACCCAUUUCCUCUUUUCCUCCGCUUCUCACCCUCUCUCCCUUCCUCCUUUCCCUGUUCCGAUUGGUCAGUUUCUUCCCCUCUCUGCCUCUGAUUCGCUCUCUCUCCUUCUUCUCCGAUUGGGCAGUUUUUGCCCAAUCUCUCUUCCUCUUUUCUGUUUUCUGGUUCUUCCCACGCACACACCCACACAAAACUUUCAUUUUUCUCAUCCCAGCCAUCCAUUUCAAAAUCCUUUAAUCUGGGCCAUCCAAAUUUUAAUAAAAGAAUUUCUAUAUUUUACUAAAAUUAUAAUUCCUUAAAAUUCCAAAUUUCAAACGUUAAUAACUUCUUCGAUAUAACUCCAAAUCACGAACCGUCUGCGCCCACGCGUCCGUAACGACGAGUACUACGAGGAUAUGUCAAGAAAACAAAUCUUAGAUGGCCCGACACAACGAUUAACCUCGAAUGAUGUGCGUGCCUCAAAGGGCAUUUUUGUAAAAUCCUUUAUUAAAACUUUAAAAAUUCUUAAAAUUAGGGACGGGCUGUCACACCAAAUCCAUGUAGUCCUUACAUCACAAUUCUGUCAAAAAUUUUGUUAUGUGCUAAUGUGACACAUAAAUGAAUCACACAAGUCUAAUUAAAUUAAAAAAAAAAUAUAUAUAUAUAUAGGUUUAAUAAUUUAAUAGUAAUAAAAAGUUGUGAACCCAAAAAUCCAAUCCUGCAAUCAUCUCCGAUCUCAGUCCACAUUCCUCUACCUCCACUUAUCUUUACGCACUUCGACACCCUUCACCGAAUUAAACCUGGAUUGAGAUCACCUUUGAUGAUGGCUUGGCUAAUUGGCAAUGACUU
RNAcentral lists this long non-coding RNA (54763 nucleotides) under Malus domestica (apple). RNAcentral's name for it is "long non-coding RNA (MDOM_LNC011948)". Lineage: Eukaryota; Viridiplantae; Streptophyta; Magnoliopsida; Rosales; Rosaceae. The record is from RNAcentral.